UCGUUCGUCACCGAUGUGCGGGAGCUGGAGCUGGGAGCUUACGAUGGCAUACUGGGAAUGGACUGACUCUCUUGGCAUAGUCUAGUGAAUUGUCAUUGGCAAGAAAAGACAAAUCUCAUUUGAGCACGAAGGCACCAUCAUAACCUUGCAAGGUGUUUGUCCAACAGAACAGCCCACUUUGGAAGCUAUGGAACCUGAGCAAUUGUUGAAAUGGCAUGCCAGCAAUGAUAUUUGGGCUGCUGACAUCAUGGACAUCCCAGUGGAGCAUGCUCUAGCCGAGACAUCAGUGCCACCGCACCUCUGCAUUGUCCUUGAUGAUUUCGCCGACGUGUUUGCCGAACUGCGUGGCCUGCAUCCUCAUCAGCAGUAUGACCACGCCGUCACCCUCAUCAACAGUACAUGCCCUGCCAACUCAUGGCCAUACCGCUACUUACCCGUGCAAAAGGACAAGAUUGAGCGGCAAGUAUGUGAGAUGCUUCACUCCAGGAUCAUCGCACAUAGCAUGAGUCCUUUCUCCGCGGCCGUGCUCCUAGUCAAAAAGAAGGAUCACACAUGGCGGUUUUGUGUCGACUACCGGCGGCUCAAUGACAUCACAAUCAAAACAAGUUCCCUUUGUCGAUCGUCGAUGAGUUGCUCGACGAGCUUCCCAGUGCUGCUUCUUCUCCAAGCUGGACCUCUGUGCGGUAUAUCAUUAAAUUCGGAUGAAGAAAGCCGACGAGGAAAAGACGGCUUUCAAGAUGCAACAUGGGCACAUUCACUUUCAUGUCAUGCCAUUUGGCUUGACCGAUGCCCCGACAUUUGUAAUUGUUUUUCUUGAUGACAUCUUGGUGUAUAGUGCCACCCUAUAGGAACAUGAAGCUCAUCUUUGCAUGGUGCUUGCCCUUCUCCAGGAGCACAAGCUAUAUGCCAAGGCGUCCAAGUGCUCAUUUGCGUGCGACCACAUCGAGUACCUCAGCCACAUAAUUUCACGGGCUGGGGUCGCGACCGACAUCGGGAAGACGCCGGCGAUGAUAAAGUGGCCAACACCUAUCAACGCCACUAAGCUCGUAAGUGCGCUCCAUGCCAGCGCCGUCAAUGGCCACUCCUGCACCACCAUGACAUAUCAUCGUGUCAAGAAACUCUUUGUGUGGCGGGGCAUGAAGGUGGACAUUGACAACUAUGUUCAGCAAUGCACGGGCAUUCUUGCCCAGCCAGCAAGCUCGAGCCACUGCCCAUGCCAACCAUCCAAUGGCAUGACCUCACGGUGGACUUCGUCGAGGGAUUGCCGAAGUCCGAGGGCUACGACACAUUUAUGGUGGGGGUUGAUUGCUUGACGAAGUUUGCCCACUUCAUUCACUUGCGCCACUCCUUCACCGCUGCCUAAGUGGUCCGAGCAUUUUGGGACAACAUUGUCAAGCUCCAUGGCAUGCCCGCGUCCAUCGUCCCUGACCGCGACAAGGUGUUCACCAGUGCGCCGCGGAGAGAGCUUCUUUCCGGCGUGGGCUGUUGGGAGCCAAUCGAUCUAUAGUUCACGAUAGGAUACAAGCAUCGAUCUCGGUUACAACUCGAGUUCUCGCAGAGACAGUCUCGCGGAUCUUGCGGUAGGAGGAAGGAAGGUAAGAGAGGAGAAGAGGGCGCUGAGGGCGCCGGUAGCUCGGGCUUGAUCGGAGUGCUUGGUGACAGGGCACAACGCAGUUGGGAUACAUGAAAGACGGGAUGAAACUUGGCGCCCGCGGGAAGCUCUAGCUCGUACGCGACAGGGUUGGCGACGUGGGUGAUCUUGAACGGCCCGAAGUAGCGGAAGGCGAGCUUGUGGUUGGUGCGGCGGGACAUCGUAGUCUGGACAUAUGGCUGCAGCUUGACGAAGACCUUGUCGCCCACAGUGAAGGUGCGGAGCGUGCGCUUCUUGUCCGCCUGGGCCUUCAUAAUAUUGCGGGCUCGGUGGAGGUGUUCUGAAAGAACUUGCUGCAUGUGCUUGCGUUCUUCGAGCCAUUCCUUGAGCGGGGGAAGUUUGCAGGUGGAGACUGCUUCAAUUCCCCAGUGGUGGGGUUCAUGCCCAUAGAGAGCUGCAAAAGGAGAAUUAUCCAGAGCAGAGUGAUAGCUAGAGUUGUACCAGAAUUCCGCGAGAGCCAGGUACUGGUGCCACUUGUGCGGGCAGGCAUGAAUGAAAUAGCGCAGGUAGAUCUCCAGACACUGGUUGAUGCGCUCUGUUUGCCCAUCUGUUUGUGGGUGGUAUGGGGUACUCAAGUUUAGCUCUGUGCCGAUGGUCUUGAACAGCUCGUGCCAGAAACUGCUUGUGAACACUGGGUCUCUGUCGGAGACCAUAGCUUCUGACAGUCAGUGCAGUUUGUAGACGUUCUCCAGGUAUGAAUGUGCUACCUUGGCCGCCGUGAAGGGGUGACUCAGGGAAGAAAUUGAGCAUAGCGAGUGAAUUUAUCGACGACCACAAGUAUGCAGUUGUAUUUACCCGACAUGGGGAGGCCAUCGAUGAAGUCCAUGGUGACAACCUUCCAAGCACCAUCGGGGAUAGGUAAAGGCUCGAGCAGACCUGGGUAUCAGAUGCGCUCGGGCUUAGCCUGCUGGCAGACAGUGCGAGAUUGCACGUACUGGCGCGUGUGUUCCUUCAUCUUGGCCCAGGCGAAGAGUCGGCGGAGGCGCCAGUGUGUGAUUGUUGUGGCCGAAUGACCGCCGAUAGUGCCGUCGUGGAAAGCACGGAGCACGCGCUGCUGCAGGUUGGGGAGCCUCCCAGCCACAGCCUAUUGCGAAAGUAUAGCAGGCCGUCGUGCAUGGUGAAGCGCAAUUUGGGAUCUGGUCAGCGCGACAGGUCUUGGAUGAUCUUCUGGGCUUGAGGAUUGGAGUUGUAGCUGGCAGCGAUGUCUGACAACCAAGCGGGAGUGCAGACAGAGAUUGCUGUCAGGGAAGCUUCAUGUGUGCGCCGCGAGAGGGCGUCAGCCGCGGUGUUGGUGGCACCGGACCGGUAGCAAGUUUUGUAGCGCAUCCCCAGCAGUUUGGUGAACGCCUUCUGCUGCCGGGGGUGGACAGGUGCUGAUCAUCAAGGUGAAUCAAGCUGCGCUGGUCAGUUCUGAUGAGAAACUCGGCGUUGUGCAGGUAUGUCCGUCAUUGUUCUACAGCCAUUAAGAUUGCCAUACACUCUUNNNNNNNNNNNNNNNNNNCUCUUUCUCGUAAGUGGAGAGGCCUCUGUUGCGUGGUCCGAGAGGUUUGCUCAUGUAAGCAAUCGGAUGGCCAUCUUGCUGGAGGACAGCGCUGACGCCAUGGGCACAGGCGUCUGUGUCGAUGACGAACUGUUUGUUGAAAUCAGGUAGUUGCAGAACUGGGGCAGAUAUGAGCUUCUCUUUCAGACUAUCGAACGCUUGUUGUGUGUCGCUUGUCCACACAAAGAGCUGAUUCUUCAUCAGAAGGUUGAACAGGAGGGGGCGAGCAAUGAUGCCGAAGUGUCUGACGAACUUGCGGUAGUAGCCUGUCAAUCCAAGGAAACUGCGCACAUCUUUAGCGCAUUGGGGUGUCGGUCAGUGUUGAACUGCUUGAACUUUGGCCGGGUCGGUGGAAACGCCUUGGGUGUUGAUCACGUGGCUGAGGUAAGCAAUUUAUUGCUGCGCGAAAGAACACUUCGACUGUUUGACUUGCCAAUGAUCGUUCCGUAGCAGUUGUAGCACUUGAGCGAUGUGUUGGAGGUGUUCAGACAAUGUUUUACUGAAGAUGAGAAUGUCGUCGAAGAAGGAGAUGGCGCAGUCGCGUAGGACUGGCUUCAGCGUGGUGGUUAUGGCGCCAUUGAAGGUUGCUGGGCCGCCGGCAACCCCGAACGGCAUGGCGUGGUAUUCCCAGUGGCCGGAGUACGUUUGAAAUGUUGUCUUGUACUCCUCUCCUUCAGCCAUUCUAAUCUGGUGGAAUCCCGUGCGCAGAUCCAGUUUUGAGAACCACUUGGCACCAGCGAGUUCGUCAAGUAGCUCGUUGAUGAUGGGCACCGGAUACUUGCUGACGACAGUCAUGGAGUUUAGACAACGGUAGUCAAUGCAUAGGCGCCACAUGUCGUCUUUCUUCUUGACUAGGAGUGCCGGUGAGGAAAAGGGACUGGAACUCUUCUGAAUUACUCCGGCAUCAAGCAGUUCCUGAAUUUGGCGCUCGAUUUCUGUCUUGAGUUCAGGUUUGUACCUGUAUGGCCGGGGGUUGACAGGUUGCGUGCCUGGCAUCAGAGGUAUCUUUUGGUCGCACUUGCGUCUGGGUGGCAGAGUUCUUGGGUCCUCGAACACAUCAGCAUACUGUUCCAGCAGUCGGAGUACUUCAGCUGGCAUUGGUGUGUCUGUGCUGCCAUUGCUGUCCAGCGAGUUCAGAUGGACAAUGUGGGCGACAGAGGCUUGUUUGCAGGCUUUGAGCAGUUCUGGGGCAGAUAUAACCGAACACUGUGUCUGAUCCGAAGAAAUGGCAGAUAACCUCAACUGACUAGCUGAUGUAGUAACUGUCAAGUACUGAUCGAUCCAAUUGAUGUGCAUAGGACUGUGUUUCCGCAACCAGCCCAUACCGAGGAUGGCGUUGUAGGAGCCCAGCUUGAGGAUCUUGAAAUAGGUGGUGAAUUCGUGCCUUUGAGUGAUCCACUGACACUCGGGGAUACAGUGGGAGCAGGGAAUGGUGGCGCCAUUCCCCACACGCACUUUGCAAGGCCUUGACAGGGGAGCUGCGCCUGUGAGUUUGGCUGCCAGGGCGCUGUCCACAAAGGAGGUGGAGCUGCCAGAGUCGACGAGCAUCAGGAUCUCGUGUCCUUGGAGCCAUGCAUGGAGCUGAAGAACACCUGGGUCGGGGGAACCGUCAUUCGCCUGGCGCAAAAUGGUGCACAUGUUUUCUUCUUCUGAUUUUGGUGAUGCGGGUGGAGACUCAGUAUGAACAUCGUCCUGGGCGAACAUGGCGAGGAGCUCACCGACGACGUGCAUCUGGAUCGUGGGUGGGCACACGUGGUCCUUCCCCCACCGUUCUCUACACUUGAAGCAGAGGCCCUUCGCUCGGCGGAACCGUCGAAGGGCCGCGACCUUGCUGGCUUCUGACUGGGCACGUGCAGCGUCGGUCCCUCGUUGAUCUUCAUAGAUUGUUGUUGGUGUGGCUGGUCUGCUGAAGAAGGAUGGCGUGGCCGCGCGAGUGAACGAGGUUGGGUUGCGGUUGGUGGAGCGCCCGUAGGGAAGUUCACCGUCGGCUACUUCCUCCUGAAGUAGUGCCAACGAGCAAGCCGUGUCGAGGUCCGGUGGUUGUUGUACAAGCACUACCGCACGGUUGUCCGGUCUCAGCCCCUCGAGAGAACGAGUUAAGAAAAAAAUAAGGGUGAGUUGCUUCAGAUUAAGAUAUCAAAUGAUUCAUGAAGGACUCAAAACGCUCGAUGAAAUCAGCGACUGUGGUGUUCUGUUUGAUGGCAUAAAACUGGCGGAUGAACAUUUGGUGUUUGUCACGGCCGAAGCGGGUGCAGAGGAGGGAAGUGAAGGACUCCCAAUCCAACCCGAUCAACUUCUUCUGAACCAACUGCAGCCAAAUGCUUGCAGGGCCCGAGAAAUUGAGGAUGGCCAUGGGAACUCGGUAGGUAUCGUGGACCAUGAACAUCUGGAAGUAUUGCUCGCAGGGCGUCUUCCAGAGUUGUGGAUUUUCGCCUGUGAACACGGGGAAAUUCAUGGAUGUGGUUGGUUGGCCAAGGGAAGCGAGAACUGGGGCCGAAAGGGGAGGGGUGGUGAUGGGUGUGAGUUGUACCCAUGAUUGGAGUGCCGCCGGUGACACGAUGGUCGCCCCUCCACCCCCCCCCCCCCCCCCCCCCNCCUCCCCCCCCCCCCCCGCGCGCGCGCGCGGUGAGAUCAGUGUCGCCGUGGUCACUUGGCCCGUGGAGAUCUCCUCCUCGCAUAGGAAGCAGCGGAGGGAGGGCUUGCGUCACUCCAGUUGACGACGGCGGCCUUUAGAGUGGUGACCGUGGUCUCCAGCUUCGCGUAGCGGGCUUCAAGAUCUGGCUUCCAGGGGAGCAGGUCCUCGAUCUGGGAGGACUGCGUCUGCAGUUGCUUGAGGACGAAGACGGAGUCGGUCUUGGCGUCCUGAUGCGGCUUGUCCAGGUACUCCUUGAGUGUUGGAUCCAUGGCGGCGAGGGAGACUUGCCGCGCGUGGAUGCGUUGCCGGGUCUCCAGAGUGGGCGCGGCGGGGAGGAGUGGUGGUCGUCUCUGAUACUAGGAUGUUAGGAGCCAAUCGAUCUAUAGUUCAUGACAUGAUACAAGCAUCGAUCUCGGUUACAACUCGAGUUCUCGCAGAGCCAGUCGAUCUUGCGGUAGGAGGAAGGAAGGUAAGAGAGGGGAAGAGAGCCGCCGUUCGUUCUGAUCCAACUGGAUGCCAGACACGACGCGCUGGGGGGUACAAGUAGCUGGCGGUUGGAUUGCGCCGAGCCCUAGGUGGCCCACUUGGGCCCGAUGUAUCUCCUGUUGGGCUGUGCGAUCCGAGGCGGCCUGUUGGAGGUUCUGUUGCUUUGUCAGCAGUGGCGCUGACAUGGGCACGCAGCUACUGUACUCAACAGCCUACCACCCGCUGUGGAGAGAGCUUCUUGCCGGUGCUGGGUUCAGUGUGUGAGCAAGGCCUUAGCCGUGGGAGGUUGUGUUAUUUAAGUGUGUGGUGUAACCGGAAACAGGGCAUGGGAGUUGACGAUGGUAUUCUGAAUCUCACCACCUGCUCCUGUUCUCUCACCUUCUUCCUGUGCAAGCUAUUCUCCUUUUCCUCAUCUACUCUCUGACAUGAGAUCUCGAUCCCUUUCGAUUGGGUUGUCACACUUGUUUGUCCUUAAGAACUAUAUUUUGGUGUAUUUCUGUCUUACCAAUCAAUUUAAGGUCUUAACUGUUUUUGCAUACAGCUCCUUAUGCUUUCAUAGAAACUCUAAGAGAGCGGAUGUUCAAACCUUCUCUGUCAACCAUUGUCACGGAGGGCACAAAGUAUGUAUUUUGUCUGUUGUGAUGAUUUCCUUUCAACUGCAAGAUGUUUGGAUAGUGAGAAUUAGUGUGAUGUCAACUUUCAGGGUAGCAAUUAUUUCCCCUUCAGAUCCUGUGUAUGUGGCGACACAGAAAAUGCGGGAGUUUCGAGUUAAUUCAGUGGUGGUCACUACAGGGAACACAGUGCAGGGGAUCUUUACGUAAGCAUUCUGUAGUAGCAUCAUACUACUGUUAUUAUUUAUCUAUUUUUUCUUUCCAGUUAUUGAUAGAUAUUGAUUCUCAAAUGCAGGUCCAAAGAUGUUCUUAUGCGUGUUGUGUCACAGAAUCUUUCCCCAGAGUUGACCUUGGUAGAAAAGGUAUCCGCGCCCUACAUGACACUUGUCUUUCUUCAAAUGGCAUCUCAUUUUGUAUAAUUACUUAUAACUCAAUGAGUUAGUUGUGAAUUUUAUAAAGGUGAUGACUGCAAACCCUGAUUGUGCUACAUUAGACACGACAAUUCUUGACGCACUACAUAUAAUGCAUGAUGGCAAAUUCUUGCACAUUCCUGUUCUUGACAGAGGUAUGACCCAAUUCUUAUCUCAGCCUGUGAAGUGAAUAACUCGUAAGUUGCCAGAUGCUUCAUCUGGUACAUGUAUUUUUUGAACAGAGGGGCAAAUUGCUGCUUGCCUGGAUGUCCUGCAGCUUACCCAUGCAGCCAUUCAAUUGGUGAUCCCUUACUCCUUCCAGCCCUUGUCUUAAGCUCUGCCAAAGAUUCCUAUCCUAAUUUCGUCAAUGUACUAUUUAUUUUUAGGUUGAAGGGGGCAAUGGGACUGCUAAUGACGUGGCAAACUCAGUAAUGCAGAGGUUCUGGGACUCUGCGCUUGCUUUGGAGGCUCCAGAUGACGAAUUUGAUAGCCGUAGGUUCGUCCAUGGUUCAUUUGUGGAUUUCUGUGCAUAUACUUUUGGUUUCUCCCUAAUACAACGCUCUCAUACAUUGCUCAGCGAAGCAUCCUUACUUAUGGCGUCAGAAGCUGGGGAUGGACGGAGUAGUAUAUACCCCCCUAUCAUUGGUAAUUCGUUUCCCUUUAAGCUUCAAGACCGGAAGGGACGUGUGCAUAGAUUCACUUGUGGUAAGUGCUCACUUGAUAGGUUGCACAAAUAUGUUGAACCUUGUUGCAUGCUCCAGAUAUAACCUGGAUCUUUAUUUAUAUGUUAUCUUCCAUAAAAUAAACUUUUAUGUUGUUGCUACAGGCUCGGAGAGCUUAGAUGAGCUUGUCUCCUCUGUAAGGCAAAGAUUGAGUAUUAUUGAUGAAAAGGACAUCAUUCAAAUCUUGGUAAGAUUAAGUAAUUUGACAUGAAAGCAUUCAAAUGUUUCAGUAGGCAUGCAGAGAUUAGGUGUUUGAGUCUGAUAGUAAAGGUCAAGCUUUCCCUCUGCCAGUGAUGAAAUCACUGCCUUUAUGUAAUUAAAGAUGAAAGCGAUUCUUAUAUGCCUAUACCUUACACCAUUGGCUGUACCUCAUUGGCCAUGCUACAUAUGGAUUUCAAGGGUCAUUCUUCUGUCAUCAACUCAUCAUUCAUCAACCCCCACAUGUUAGUAAAUUAUUUGCCUGGACUGCCCAGCUUAAUUUUAAUCGUGAUUUGGAAUUUAGUACGAAGAUGAUGAGGGCGACCGGGUGCUGCUGACAACGGAUACUGAUCUUGCUGGCGCUGUGCUCCAUGCCAAAUCAUCUGGGUUGAAGGUAUUCUGUAUUCUUGGAUGACAUGUUGCGAUAUUGCGAGUUGCAUGACUCCUCAACUAUUAGCUGUUUGAUUUCUCAUGAAAGUGAAAAUUCCACUGACAGGUUCUCAAGUUGCAUAUCGAGGACGAGUCAAAUCCAAACACAGAGGCGGUAAAACCAUUACAGGAGCUAGCACCUCGCAGCAGGANNNNNNNNNNNNNNNNNNNNNNNNGCAGGAAUGGUGUGUCUUCUGUUAAAAUUGGGCUCAUGGCUGGUGCAGUUGCUCUCAGUGGCACGGCAGUCAUGGUGUACUUGAAACGGUCCAGGGUGUGAUUACCAGAUGAAUCAGUACUUUCCUAAACCCGCAUCUCAACAGCUGACAUCCAUCCACUUUAGAAACUAUUGUUAUCUUGGUAUCAUUGCAUACUAAGAAAAGAAAGAACGAGUCACAUGAGGUCACAUGUUUCCAGUCUGUCAGGCAAUUGAAAGGUCGAACAUCAGGCGGUAGGAGCUGCCUACAUUUGUCCCGCCACCACAUUUUGCACAAACAUCAGUGAUUUCAUGGGUCAUGGCUACGGUGAAAUGUAUAAACACAAGUGUUUAUACUAGUUCAUACUUUUGCACCUUUUUGUAGAUAAACAGAGGAUUUAAAAUCAUUUUGGAGGAUACCAUUAAGUGGAUUAUUCUCUCCUAGUGUCCUACAAAAAAUCAAAUGUAAACAAUCGGUAUCUCCGUGAUAUUAAUAUAUACUCUUUAUCAAAAAAAUGUAAACAAUUGGGUCAUGCACACUGUCAAACACACUACUCAUUCUGACGAUUGAUUAAUGAUUUCAAGGUAAAUUUACAGUAAAAAAAACAAUGCCCAUUAUUCGAUCAUGUGCCCUCUCAAGAUCUUAUCUGCACAGUAGAGUUGGGUGGCCCCUGGUUAUAUCCCUUUAUAUAUGUGAUGGAUUGAUAAUGAAGUCAUGAUUAGUAAAAAAGGAUUGGGUUGGUGUGUGGGUCAAGUUAUGGUUGCUGGCUGCACAUGUUAGUGGUUAUCUAUCCCUUUUGUUGAGGUGGUUGGUAGUUUCUUAACCUCCCUAGGUGGCUUUGAGUGGAGUCGAGCGAUCUCGUGCUCCUCUUCCAACUAUCACAAACUUGCUUUUGUAGCUUGAAAGACAGUGUUUGGAUUAGGCAAUCAUAUCCAACCUUUAAGAUCAGAUACAACUUUACAGCCAUGUGUAUAUCUGUCUGGUCUUUCUGUACUAGUGUCUAGUGGCACAUAUUUGUUUAUUUCUAUCAACUGGGCUUAGAUGGUGUCCAUAAUUUGCCAUGACUUGACUAAGAGAGCUACGAUAGUAUUGGGUUAAGUACCGUAAGUUUGGCUUUCAAAAUAAAACGUAAGCUUGCUUUGCAUAUGGUCUUCCCCAUGACAACAAACCCUAAGACCAUAUGCCCUGUUGUCUAGCAGUUGGCUAAGAGCCACCAUCAGCGCCUCCUGAUUAAAGCCACCCAUGUCCAUGACAGAAUUGUAGAGGGCAGGUUGUACGUCAACAUGCUUGCUCUCCUUGAUGGUGGUUGCCACCUCCUUAACAAUCUCGGUCAUGUUGUUAAAAACUCUCAAUUCCUUGUCCAUCAAAUUGCCCCUCUUCCUCCUCCUUUCAACAGUAGGACUGUGAUAUGCAGUCAUGAAGGAUAUUGUCUCUCUUCCUUCUUUCAACAGCAGGACCCUGAUCAGCAGACAUCAAGGACGAUGGUCUCUAACUCCUCGUGUACAAAUACUCAUGCAUAGCAAACUGAGAGGCUCAUUGGAGCCCAUGGCAUGCUUGCUGAUAGCCACCCCAUGAAAGAAGAUCUACUACAUCUACUAGUAGUUCUACAUUAAAGUGUUGAGGAACUCAACAUCCUUAGGGUGGUGCUAAGAAAGAAACACAUUAUUAUUAGUUGUGAUUUACAUGUUAGUAAGCUAAACAAGUCGUAAUGGUAUGUUAGCUAAGGGCAAGUACAAUGAUGAUAUCUUAGAAGUGUCAUGUAGGAUAAAAGUUGAUGGUUGAGGUGACAGAGAGAGAAAUCAUAAGAAAAGACUUGUCUUCUCUUAUUUAAGAGACGAUCUCUUAACACAAUAUGUCUCAUCAUGUUUUAAGAAAUAGCUAGUUAUUAAAGAUAAGGCUAAGAGAUAACCCAUUAUAGACAUGCUUUUAUUGUCAUCUCUAAAUUACAUGCAUGGCUUAAAAUAAGAUUGUCUUAUCAACCAUUGUAUAUGCCCUAACUGUGGUGUGGCCUUAGUGUCGCUGUGUCGCCAAUAGAAUCGUGAAGGUGUCACGAUCUCAUUGUGCAUCGCUAAGAUCUUUGAACCUGGACGUUUGGAUUCAUCUGGCUCUCCACUUUCUGAGGUGGUUGUAGACUUGGGUUGAGGUUACCACUUGGUUGAAGACCUUCUUUAUCAGAGUUCAGGUGCACCUUUUGAGACCCUUGUGGGUCCUCACCAUAGUGGAUAUGAUCUCGCACAUCUUGUUAAACACGAAGGUGGACAUGUAAGGAUGUCAUUUCAUUGAGCUUUCUUUUCCAAACAUGUUUACCUUCCCAACCUUAUGGAUGCUUGAUGUGCAACAUCAAUAGGCAUCGUCACACAAAUGAUAGCUGCCUAAUAGGGCCCUCGAACACAUCUGAAUUUGGAGGCAUAUAGACAAGGUUAGGAGUCCUCAACAUAGGACAUCAUGAAAUGGUUGCCGGACAAGACAAUGGUCUUACUAAAAUCUCAGAUGCUCAAAUUCUACAAUCACUGUCGUUAGGACUAAUUCAACACACUACACAUGAACAAAAGGAAAGACAAAACAUACUACACAUGUAGCCCCAAUCAUGAAGUUUAACCACCGCGUAUGGACUAAUCUUCAACCUCAAAACAAACCAUUAAGUUCAACACACUAACACAUCAUAUCAACCAUACUUGCAUACUAGCAUACUGCACAUGCUCUAAGCGUCAAACUAGUACCACAUCUACCAUAGUGUCAUUGAAGCCGACAUGGAAAACAACACGAACAUUAUCAAAGCCUACAAGCCAAAUCUAGCAUGCUAGUGAUCUAUUACCACUACAAUUUGAUCCACCACAACAUCACAUACUCAUAGAUCUACAUUCUACUAUAUUACCACAUGCUCACAUAUCUAAUCUCGAAUGAGCAGGGAGGAGGGAGUGAUCAAACUUACAACCAUUGGUGAAGCUGGGUGGUGGAGCAGGACAACUCAGAUAAGAGGAUGUAGAACGUUCGUCACCGCAGCCUAUCGCUGACUCAAGAAGAUGCAUUGCUUACCUUCUCGUUAGUGAUGAAGUCGCCCGAGACGAAGUGCUCGAGGGGGAAGGGGGAUUAGGCAGGGAAAUGAUGGUUGUGGUUUCGGUGGUGAGCCAAAGAGAGCUAAAUAGGGCAACUGAUUCGGUAGGAGGUGACCCAAUUCCCCCACCGCUUUUCCGAAAACACGCGUGAGCUCAUGUCAUAUUGUAUCUUGCAUGAGCUCGGUGCCGUGUGCCCCUUCACUGCACGCCUGACUAAGAGGUUCAUACUAUACACGCCAAAAAUAAAGAUAGACAUCCAAACGAACGAAGAUUGCGUCGAGGAGACCUUCACUUGACCAAGAGGGUGCCGACGCACACACACGCGAAUUUGAUCCGCUUUAUGUUUGUUUGGGUCGUCUAUAAGGGCGACGUUCGCCCCCAUUUGGUCCGCCACGCCGAGUUUUGUUUUCCCAUUUUUUAUUAAUUUGGACAUUCUAUGCAUAUAUAUCAAAUAAACAAAUAAAAACAUUACACAAUAUUGAAUAAAUAAGUCACAUUGUUUUACAUAACAAUAAGUAAAAAACUCAUAGUUUACAACCAAAUGAUUUUUUUUACCAAAUACAUUAAAAGGUACAUCUAUUGGUUGCCUACGUGAGUCCACAUAUGCUCAACAAAAUCAUUCUCAAGUUCAAUAUGAGUUUCCAUUCACACAUUUCUUGAUGAAAUUGGAUGAGAUGUGCAAAACAUUGCUGCUUCAUACUCACGCUCGACGUUUCACCCUGGAAAUCCCACCCUUGGUCAAAGAUGAUGUCAUCACACCCAUCCUCUAUGAUCAUGUUGUGCAUGAUCACACAACAUGCCAUCACCUCCCAUGUCUUCUCAAGGCUCCAUGGUUUAGCAGGGUGUCGAACAAUAGCCCAUCAAGAUUGGAGCACACCAAAAGCACGCUCCACAUCCUACCUAGCACUCUCUUUUUCUUUGGCAAACCUAGUCCUCUUUUCUUGUAUGGGCUCGAAGAUUGUCUUGACAAUCAUAGACCACCGAUGAUAUAUACCAUCAUCUAGGUAGUAUCUGUUGGGUAACGUAGCAUAAAUUCAAAAAAAUUCCUACGCCAUAUUCAGAUCUUCCUAUGGAGAGACCAGCAACGAGAGAGGGGUGAGUGCAUCUUCAUACCUUUGAAGAUCGCUAAGCGGAAGCGUUGCUAGAACGCGGUUGAUGGAGUUGUACUCGCGGCGAUUCAGAUUGUGGUGUGAUUCCGAUCUAGUGCCGAACCACGCCACCUCCGCGUUCAACACAUGUGCAGCCCGGUGACGUCUCCCGCACCUUGAUCCAGCAAGGAGGAGGGAGAGGUUGGGGAAGAUCUCCGGCAGCACGACGACGUGGUGUCGAUGGAGAGACGAGGUCUCCUGGCAGGGCUUCGCCAAGCACCGUGGGAGAGGAGGAAGAAGGGGGGCAGGGCUGCGCCGAGGGAGAUGGAAAACUGUGUGUAAAACAGCCCCAAAACCCCCACUAUAUAUAGGAGGAGGGGAGGGGGGUGCCACCCCUAGGGUUCCCACCCUAGGUGGUGCGCCAACACCCCCAGAUGGGAGGUGCGGCGGCCAGGGCAGGGGAAGGGGGUGGCGCACCCCUAGGUGGGCCUUAGGCCAACCAGCGCCUAGGGUUUCCCCCCCUCUCCACCUCCUGCGCCUUGGGCCUCCUUGUGGGAGGUGCACCAGCCCACUUCGGGCUGGUUUCCCUCCCUCUUUUGGCCCAUGCUACCUCUUGGGGCUGGUGGCCCCUCCCGGUGGACCCUCGGGACCAUUUCCGGUGGUCUCGGUGGUCCCGGUACAUUACCGGUGACGCCCGAAACAUUUCCGGUGUCCAAAACCAUCCAUCCUAUAUAUCAAUCUUUACCUCCGAACCAUUCCGGAGCUCCUCGUGACGUACGGGAUCUCAUCCAGGACUCCGAACAACUUUCGGUAACCUCGUAUAACAAUUCCCUAUAACCCUAGCGUCAUCGAACCUUAAGUGUGUAGACCCUACGCAUUCGGGAGACAGGCAGACAUGACCGGGACACCUCUCCAGCAAAUAACCAUCAGCGGGGUCUGGAUACCCAUGGUGUCUCCCACUUGCUCCACGAUGAUCUCAUCGGAUGAACCACGAUGUCAAGGAUUCAAUCAAUCUCGUAUACAAUUCCCUUUGUCUGUCGGUAUAGAACUUGCCCGAGAUUCGAUCGUCGCUAUACCUAUACCUUGUUCAAUCUCGUUACCGGUAAGUCUCUUUACUCGUUCCGUAGCACGUCAUCGUGUGACUAAAUCCUUAGUCACAUUGAGAUCAUGAUGAUGUUCUACCGAGUGGGCCCAGAGAUACCUCUCCGUCACGCGGAGUGACAAAUCCCGAUCUCGAUUCGUACCAACCCAACAGACACUUUCAGAGGUACCCGUAGUGCACCUUUAUAGUCACCCAAUUAUGUUGUGACGUUUGAUACACCCAAAGCACUCCUACGGUAUCCGGGAGUUGCAUAAUCUCACGGUCGAAGGAAAAGACACUUGACAUUAGAAAAGCUUUAGCAUACGAACAAUACGAUCUAGUGCUAUGCUUAGGAUUGGGUCUUGUCCAUCACAUCAUUCUCCCAAUGAUGUGAUCCCGUUAUCAAUGACAUCUAAUGCCCAUGAUCAGGAAACCAUGAUCAUCUAUUGAUCAACGAGCUAGCCAACUAGAGGCUUGCUAGGGACACAUUGUGAUCUAUUUAUUCACACAUGUAUUACUGUUUCCUGUUAAUACAAUUAUAGCAUGAACAAUAGGCGAUUAUCAUGAACAAGGAAAUAUGAUAAUAACCAUUUUAUUAUUGCCUCUAGGGCAUAUUUCCAACAGUCUCCCACUUGCACUAGAGUCAAUAAUCUAGUUACAUUUUGAUGUAUCGAACACCCAUAGCAUUAUGGUGUUGAUCAUGUUUUUCUCGAGGAAGAGGUUUAGUCAACGGGUCUGCGACAUUCAGAUCCGUAUGUACUUUACAAAUCUCUAUUACUCCACUCUGGACAUGGUCCUGGAUGGAGUUGUAGCGGCGUUUGAUGUGCUUUGUCUUCCGGUGAAACCUGGGCUCCUUGGCUAUGGCAAUGGCCCAAGUGUUAUCACAGAAGANNNNNNNNNNNNNNNNNNNNNNAAGAGCGUCAUUGGACCCGACGCGCUUGGAACCACUCCAAGGUAGGUGAUGAGCUCCUUCAUCGAAAUUCCUUCAUGAGCCGCUUCUGAAGCAGCUAUGUACUCCGCUUCACAUGUAGAUGCUGCCACGACUUCUUGCUUGCUGCUGCACCAGCUCACUGCCCCACCAUUCAAAACAUAUACGUAUCCGGUCUGUGACUUAGAGUCAUCCGGAUCUGUGUCGAAGCUAGCGUUGACGUAACCCUUUACGAGGAGCUCUUCGUCACCUCCAUAAACGAGAAACAUCUCCUUAGUCCUCUUCAGGUACUUAAGGAUAUUCUUGACCGCUGUCCAGUGUUCCAUACCGGGAUCACUUUGGUACCUCCCUACCAAACUUAUGGCAAGGUAUAUAUCAGGUCUGGUACACAGCAUGGCAUACAUUAGAGAGCCUACGGCUGAAGCGUAGGGGACAAUACUCAUCUUCUCUCUAUCUGCUGCCGUGGUCGGUGACUGAGUCUUACUCAAUCUCAUACCUUGCAAAACUGGCAAGAACCCUUUCUUUGAGUUUUCCAUAUUGAACUCCUUCAAUAUCUUGUCAAGGUAUGUACUUUGCGAAAGACCUAUGAAGCGCCUCGAUCUAUCUCUAUAGAUCUUGAUGCCUAAUAUGUAUGCAACUUCUCCAAGGUCCUUCAUUGAAAAACUCUUGUUCAAAUAGGCCUUUAUGCUCUCCAACAUCUCUAUAUUAUUCCCCAUCAAUAAUAUGUCAUCCACAUACAGUAUGAGGAAAGCUACAGAGCUCCCACUCACUUUCUUGUACAGACAGGCUUCUCCGUAAACCUGUAUGAACCCAAACGCUUUAAUCACCUCAUUAAAGCGAAUGUUCCAACUCCGAGAUGCUUGCACCAGCCCAUAGAUGGAGCGCUGGAGCUUGCACACUUUGUUAGCACCCUUAGGGUUGACAAAACCUUCUGGUUGCAUCAUAUACAACUCUUCCUUAAGGUUCCCGUUAAGGAACGCUGUUUUGACGUCCAUUUGCCAAAUUUCAUAAUCAUAAAAGGCGGUAAUUGCUAACAUGAUUCGGACUGAUUUCAGCUUCGCUACGGGAGAGAAAGUCUCUUCGUAGUCAAUUUCUUGAAUUUGUCGAAAACCCUUUGCGACAAGUCGAGCUUUAUAAACGGUUACAUUACCGUUUGCAUCAGUCUUCUUCUUGAAGAUCCAUUUAUUUUCUAUGGCUCGCCGGUCAUCAGGCAAGUCCACCAAAGUCCAUACUUUGUUCUCAUACAUGGAUCCUAUCUCGGAUUUCAUAGCUUCAAGCCAUUUGUUGGAAUCCGGGCCCGCCAUCGCUUCUUCAUAGUUCGAAGGUUCACCGUUGUCUAACAACAUGAUUUCCAUCACAGGGUAGCCGUACCACUCUGGUGCGGAACGUGCCCUUGUGGACCUUCGUGGUUCAGUAGUAACUUGAUCGGAAGCUUCAUGAUCAUUAUCAUUAACUUCCUCUUCAGUUGGUGCAGGCGCCAUAGGAACAAUUUCCCGCGCUGCGCUACUUUCCUGUUCGAGAGGGGGUGUAAUUACCUCAUCAAGUUCUACCUUCCUCCCACUUACUUCUUUCGAGAGAAACUCUUUCUCUAGAAAGGAUCCGUUCUUAGCAACAAAGGUUUUACCUUCGGAUCUAAGAUAGAAGGUAUACCCAAUAGUUUCCUUAGGGUAUCCUAUGAAUACACAUUUCUCCGCUUUGGGUUCGAGCUUUUCUGGUUGAAGUUUCUUCACAUAAGCAUCACAGCCCCAAACUUUAAGAAACGACAACUUAGGUUUCUUGCCAAAACAUAGUUCAUACGGUGUCGUCUCAAUGGAUUUAGACGGUGCCCUAUUUAAAGUGAAUGCUGCAGUUUCUAAUGCGUAUCCCCAAAAUGAUAUCGGUAAGUCGGUAAGAGACAUCAUAGACCGUACCAUAUCUAAUAAAGUGCGAUUAUGACAUUCAGACACUCCGUUGCGUUGCGGUGUGCCAGGCGGCGUCAGUUGUGAAACGAUUCCACACUUCCUUAGGUGUGUGCCAAACUCGUGACUCAAAUAUUCUCCUCCACGAUCAGAUCGUAGAUACUUAAUUUUUCUAUCACGUUGAUUCUCGACCUCACUCUGAAAUUCCUUGAACUUUUCAAACGUCUCAGAUUUGUGCUUCAUCAAGUAGAUAUACCCAUACCUACUCAAAUCAUCGGUGAGAGUGAGAACAUAACGAUAGCCACCGCAAGCUUCAACGUUCAUUGGACCACACACAUCAGUAUGUAUUAUUUCCAAUAAGUCGGUUGCUCUCUCCAUUAUUCCUGAGAAUGGAGUCUUAGUCAUCUUGCCCAUGAGGCACGGUUCGCAUGUGUCAAAUGAUUCAAAGUCAAGAGACUCUAAUAGUCCAUCAGUAUGGAGCUUCUUUAUGCGCUUAACACCGAUAUGACCAAGGCGGCAGUGCCACAAGUAUGUGGGACUAUCAUUAUCAACUUUACAUCUUUUGGUACUCACACUAUGAAUAUGUGUAACAUCACGAUCGAGAUUCAUCAAGAAUAAACCAUUCACCAGCGGAGCAUGACCAUAAAACAUAUCACUCAUAUAAAUAGAACAACCAUUAUUCUCUGACUUAAAUGAGUAGCCGUAUCGCAUUAAGAAAGACCCUGAUACAAUAUUCUUGCUCAAAGCUGGUACUAAAUAACAAUUAUUAAGGUUUAAAACUAAUCCCGACGGUAGAUGUAGAGGUAGCGUGCCGACAGCGAUCACAUCGACCUUGGAGCCAUUCUCGACGCGCAUCGUCACCUCGUCCUUGGCCAGUCUCCGCUUUUUCCGCAGUUACUGCUUUGAGUUGCAAAUGUGAGCAACAACACUGGUAUCAAAUACCCAGGAGCUACUACGAGCGCUCGUAAGGUACACAUCAAUAACAUGUAUAUCACAUAUACCUUUAACGUUGCCGGCCUUCUUGUCCGCUAAGUAUUUGGGGCAGUUCCGCUUCCAGUGACCUUUUCCCUUGCAAUAGAAGCACUCAGUCUCAGGCUUGGGUCCAUUCUUUUUCUUCUUCCCGGCAUCUGGCUUACCGGGCGCGGCAACGACUUUGCCGUCUUUCUUGAAGUUCUUCUUACCCUUGCCCUUCUUGAAACUAGUGGUCUUGUUGACCAUCAACACUUGAUGCUCUUUCUUGAUUUCUACUUCUCCAGACUUGAGCAUCGAGUACAACUCGGAAAUGGUCUUCUCCAUCCCUUGCAUGUUGUAGUCCAGCACAAAACCUUUGUAGCUUGGUGGGAGAGACUGGAGGAUUCUGUCAAUUAUAGCAUCAUCCGGAAGUUCGACUCCAAGUGAAGUCAGACGACCGUGUAACCCAGACAUUUUGAGUAUGUGCUCACUGACACAACCGUUCUCCUCCAUCUUACAGCUAAAGAACUUGUCGGAGACUUCAUAUCUCUCAACACGGGCAUGAGAUUGAAAAACUACCUUAAGCUCUUGGAACAUCUCAUAUGCACCGUGUUGCUCAAAACGCCUUUGGAGCCCCGUUUCCAAACUGUAUAACAUGCCACACCUAACUAGAGAGUAGUCAUCACUCCGCGUUUGCCAGACGUUCAGAAUGUCCUGGGCUGCUGCGGGAGCGGGAGGGUCACCUAGCGGCGCAUCAAGGACAUAAGCCUUUUUAGUUGCUUCAAGGAUGAGCUUCAAGUUGCGAACCCAGUCCGCAUAGUUGCUACCAUCAUCUUUCAGCUUGUUUUUCUCUAGGAAUGCGUUGAAAUUGAGGUUGAGGUUGGCCAUCUACAAUAUUUAUAAAGACAACUUUUAGACUAAGUUCAUGACAAUUAAGUUCAUUUAAUCAAAUUAAGUAUGAACUCCCACUUAAAUCGACAUCCCUCUAGUCAUCUAAGUGAUACAUGAUCCAUGUUGACUAACCCGUGUCCGAUCAUCACGUGAGACGGACUAGUCACCAUGGUGAGCAACUUCAUGCUGAUCGUAUUCAACCAUACGACUCAUGUUCGACCUUUCGGUCUCUUGUAUUCGAGGUCAUGUUUGUACAUGCUAAGCUCGUCGAGUCAACCUAGGUGUUUCGCGUGUGUAAAUUUGGCUUACACCCGUUGUAUGCGAACGUUAGAAUCUAUCACACCCGAUCAUCACGUGGUGCUUCGAGACAAUGAUCCUUCGCAACGGUGCACACUUAGGGGAAUACGUUCUCGAAAUUUUAAUAGGGAUCAUCUUAUUAUGCUAUCGUCGUUCUAAGCAAUAAGAUGAAAACAUGAUAAACAUCACAAUGCAAUCAUAUAGUUACAUGAUAUGGCCAUUAUCAUCUUUGCUCUUUCGAUCUCCAUCUUCAGGCAUCGCAUGAUCAUCAUUGUCACCGGCGUGACACCAUGAUCUCCAUCAUCGUGUCUCCGUGAAGUCGUCACGCCAACUACUACUAUCACUACUACUAUAGCUAACCGUUAGCAAUGAAGUAAAAGUAGUAAGCACAUGGCAUUGCAUCUCAUACAAUAAAUUAAGACAACUCCUAUGGCUCCUGCCGGUUGUCAUACUCAUCAACAUGCAAGUCGUGAAACCUAUUACUAUAACAUGAUCAUCUCAUACAUCAUACAUGCAACAUCACAACUUUGUCCAUAUCACAUCACAUGUCAAACCCUGCAAAAACAAGUUAGACGUCCUCUAAUUGUUGUUGCAAGUUUUACGUGGCUGAUUUGGGUUUCUAGAAAGAACGCUUUCUUACCUACGUGACAGCUACAACGAUGAUAUGCCAAAGCUAUUUACCCUUCAUAAGGACCCUUUUCAUCAAAUCCAAUCCGACUAGAGUAGGAGAGACAGACACCCGCUAGCCACCUUUAUGCACGGUGUGCAUGUCUGUCGGUGGAACCAGUCUCACGUAAGCGUACGUGUAAUGUUCGUCCGUGCCGCUUCAUCCCACAAUACCGCCGGAGAAGAAUAAGACUAGUAGCGGCAAGCAAUUGACAAAUCAUCGCCCACAACCUUUUGUGUUCUACUCGUGCAUAGAAUCUACGCAUAGAAAACCUGGCUCGGAUGCCACUGUUGGGUAACGUAACAUAAAUUCAAAUUUUUUCCUACGCCAUAUUCAGAUCUUCCUAUGGAGAGACCAGCAACGAGAGAGGGGUGAGUGCAUCUUCAUACCUUUGAAGAUCGCUAAGCGGAAGCAUUGCUAGAACGCGGUUGAUGGAGUCGUACUCGCGGCGAUUCAGAUCGCGGUGUGAUUCCGAUCUAGUGCCGAACCACGGCACCUCCGCGUUCAACACACGUGCAGCCCGGUGACGUCUCCCGCACCUUGAUCCAGCAAGGAGGAGGGAGAGGUUGGGGAAGAUCUCCGGCACCACGACGACGUGGUGUCGAUGGAGAGACGAGGUCUCCCGGCAGGGCUUCGCCAAGCACCGUGGGAGAGGAGGAAGAAGGGGGGCAGGGCUGUGCCGAGGGAGAUGAAAAAGUGUGUGUAAAACAGCCCCAAAACCCCCACUAUAUAUAGGAGGAGGGUAGGGGGUGCCACCCCUAGGGUUCCCACCCUAGGUGGUGCGGCAGCCCCCCCAGAUGGCAGGUGCGGCGGCCUGGGCAGGGGGAGGUGGUGGCGCACCCCUAGGCGGGCCUUAGGCCCACCAGCGCCUAGGGUUUCCCCCCCUCUCCACCUCCUGCGCCUUGGGCCUCCUUGUGGGAGGUGCACCAGCCCACUUCGGGCUGGUUUCCCUCCCUCUUUUGGCCCAUGCUACCUCUUGGGGCUGGUGGCCCCUCCCGGUGGACCCUCGGGACCAUUUCCGGUGGUCUCGGUGGUCCCGGUACAUUACCGGUGACGCCCGAAACAUUUCCGGUGUCCAAAACCAUCCAUCCUAUAUAUCAAUCUUUACCUCCGAACCAUUCCGGAGCUCCUCGUGACGUACGGGAUCUCAUCCAGGACUCCGAACAACUUUCGGUAACCUCGUAUAACAAUUCCCUAUAACCCUAGCGUCAUCGAACCUUAAGUGUGUACACCCUACGCAUUCGGGAGACAGGAAGACAUGACCGGGACACCUCUCCAGCCAAUAACCAUCAGCGGGGUCUGGAUACCCAUGGUGUCUCCCACUUGCUCCACGAUGAUCUCAUCGGAUGAACCACGAUGUCAAGGAUUCAAUCAAUCUCGUAUACAAUUCCCUUUGUCUGUCGGUAUAGAACUUGCCCGAGAUUCGAUCGUCGCUAUACCUAUACCUUGUUCAAUCUCGUUACCGGUAAGUCUCUUUACUCGUUCCGUAGCACGUCAUCGUGUGACUAAAUCCUUAGUCACAUUGAGAUCAUGAUGAUGUUCUACCGAGUGGGCCCAGAGAUACCUCUCCGUCACGCGGAGUGACAAAUCCCGAUCUCGAUUCGUACCAACCCAACAGACACUUUCAGAGGUACCCGUAGUGCACCUUUAUAGUCACCCAAUUAUGUUGUGACGUUUGAUACACCCAAAGCACUCCUACGGUAUCCGGGAGUUGCAUAAUCUCACGGUCGAAGGAAAAGACACUUGACAUUAGAAAAGCUUUAGCAUACGAACAAUACGAUCUAGUGCUAUGCUUAGGAUUGGGUCUUGUCCAUCACAUCAUUCUCCCAAUGAUGUGAUCCCGUUAUCAAUGACAUCUAAUGCCCAUGAUCAGGAAACCAUGAUCAUCUAUUGAUCAACGAGCUAGCCAACUAGAGGCUUGCUAGGGACACAUUGUGAUCUAUUUAUUCACACAUGUAUUACUGUUUCCUGUUAAUACAAUUAUAGCAUGAACAAUAGGCGAUUAUCAUGAACAAGGAAAUAUGAUAAUAACCAUUUUAUUAUUGCCUCUAGGGCAUAUUUCCAAGAGUAUCGUUAUUGUAUUGGUGGUCGUUAAUUUGAAAGUUUACCUUUGGGUACUUGCCUUUCGAUCGCCUCGCAAACACCUGAAGCACAUUGAUGUCAUUGUGAGAACCUGCCAUGUCGAAAAACAAUGCCAAAUCCAAAGAUCUUGUGAUGCCAUAGCUUCAAGAUGACCAUGUGAGCUUUACAUCUCUCUUAUAUUUCCCCUCCAAUCAAAUGGACAAUUCUUCCACUUCUCGUGCAUAUAAUAUAUGCUUACAAGUAUUCCCAGAAAGCCUCUCCGAUUCAUUGAUCGCUAACAAUCAUGUUGUAUCCGCAACAUUUGGUUCUUUCAAGUACUGCAGGCCAAAGACCAUAACCACAACUUUGCAAAACCUGUACAAUGACGCAAGACAUCUGGACUCACUCAUGCGGACAUACUCAUCCGCAAGAUCACUAGGAAUUCCGUGCGCAAAGAAUACGCAUAGCUGCAAUACAUUUAUGAUAAGAGGAGAAACCAACCUUUCCAAUGGCAACAAUCUUACAUUUGAAGUAAUCAUCAUACUCUACCACCUCCUCCUGAAUACGGAUUAACACAUGUCUUGCCAUCUGGAAGGGUCACUAGAAUAACUUUAGAGGGAAUAGUGGGUCAUUGAGCUAAAUAUAAUAGUUGUAGAGUAGGCAAUGACUACUUUCUCCGUUACGAUUCAAUCCAGAGCAUGGCCCCAGAUCAAUCCCUUAAACUUUGACCGUUGCACUACAAUGUGCUCAUUGACUACCAAAGUAGCUAUCACGUCAUCAUUCUCAUCGUUAGACGAUUCUUUGGAUGACGGUGAACAUAUGAAGUUCUCAUAAAAAAUCUCAUCAAGUGAUGAAACCGUACCUCACUGGACGCAGAGGCGUGCGUGGACAUGUCUCGGUCGAGUGAGGCAAACAGCAAAACACCUUACAUGCAGCGAUGGGGGGUGAGGCGGCGGCGAGUCACGGUCGGUGGACGGAGUCCACAAAGACAAAGGCGAGAGAUUUGUUGAACCCGCAUUCUCUGACAGGGACCUUGGAGGUAGCGGGGGAUGCCGACAACACUCGGGUAAGCAGGUCAUGUCCUUCUCCUCGGCGGGAAGAAGCGGCCACAAGAGCGACAAAAGUGGGCUGAAAGGACGUGGAUGUUGCCUAGAGGGGGGGGGGGGCUGAAUAGGUGCUUUAAAAUAAUUAUGGUUUAGGCUUGAACAAAUGUGGAAUAAAUCUAGCAUUUAUUGUAUCAAGCACAAAACCUAAAACAGCUAGGCUCACCUAUGUGGACCAACAACUUAUGGUAAACAAGAUAAACAACCAAGUUAUAUAUAUAUAUAUAUAUAUAUUGAAACAAUAUGGCUAUCACAAACUAAAGUGCAUAAGUAAAGGGCUCAUGUAAGAGAUAACUUAGGCAGGCACAGACGAUGAUGUAUCCCGAAGUUCACACCCUUGCGGAUGCUAAUCCCCAUUUGGAGCGAUGUGGAGGCACAAUGCUCCCCAAGAAGCCAGUAGAGCCACCGUAAACUCCUUACACCCUCGCACAAUACAAGAUGUCGUUAUUCAAUUAAGGGAUCCUUAAGGACGGUCACCGAACUCGUACAAAUGGCGACCCUUGGGGGCGGUUACCGAAGCCAUACACUUUGAUAAUCCUUGGGGACGGUCACAUGAACCCAUACAAAUUUCUCGGGGCAAUAUCCACAACCUAAUUGGAGACCCUAACACUUGCUCUGAGCUUUACACCACAAUUAAAUGAGCUCCGAGACACCACCAACCGUCUAGGGCGCCAAAGCACCCAAGAGGCACAAGAUCUAGGGUGCCCAAACACCCAAGAGUAAUAAGCUUCUCAACUUUUCGCUUCCACGUAUCAUCAUGGAGGACUCAAACCGAUGCAACUAAUUCAAUGGCAAGAACACAUGAAGUGUUCAAGUUCCUCACUCCCAAAUCCCACUACAACAACAAAAGCUAUAGAGGAAUAUGAGAGGAAGAACAUGUAACUCACAACGAACUUCAAGAUCUAGAUCCAAGGGUUCCCCUCACACAGAGGAGAAAGUGAUUGGUGAAAAUGUGGAUCUAGAUCUCCCGUCUCCUUUUACUCAAAAAGGAGCAAGAAUUAUUGGAGGGAUUGAUAGUUAGAAAGCUCUAAGAAGGGCAACAAUGGGGGAAGAACACGAGCUCAAAGCUUAAGGACCAUUGGGGAAGAAUCCCCCCUUAAGUAAGCGCCCCCCGAAUCCAACCGUUAUGCCCACAAGUCGUGCACAAGAGGUACUAUCGCUUAGCACGGUUAAAACAGCCCAACAAGACAUAACAACAUGAACGGUAGUUCUGCGAGAGCAGUACUACCGCUUGGGGGAGCAGUACUACCGCUUGAGCAGUACUACCGCUUGGGGGAGCAGUACUAUCGCUUAGAGCAGUACUACCGUUGUACUACCACUCGAGCAAAUUAGCAAUAGAAGCAUAAAAUAAGCGGAAGUGGUUGUGGUAGAAGGAAGCGAAAGUAACUCUCAAGCGGUACUACCGCUCGGGGGAGUAGUACUACCGCUCUACUACCACUUAGAGCAGUACUACUGCCCAAGCAAGACAGAAGAAAGCUCCAAUACACACUCCAAAAAAGCAAACUCAAGCUCUUCCAAUAGACAACAACAAGUACUAUCCAACAACGACUGGUUAUAAUAAGAAGUGGCAGUGGAAAAAUGCCAAUGAUAUAGACAUGUGAAACCUCUAUGAAUGAAGAACCGACAAAAACUCCAACAUUGAAAACAUCAAAGAAUAUGCAUAUGAACUCUGAUUUUUUAUGAACUAGAGCUUGUCAUGAAGAUGACCAUAAGCUCUAAACCCCGCAUAGAGAAACACCAAACAAGAACCAAAAAAGAUGGUGGAAGGAUGCAAUGGUUUGAGCUCUCUACGGAAGAUACGAUCAAGCUACUCAAUUGAGAGCCCCCGAUGAUAGUUCGACAAUCGAUCCUAUAACCUGGUCUCCCAACAAACAUCAUGAGAUCUAUAAAAUAGAAAACCUAUCAAGCAUAAACCUUUGCAUUGCGCAUAAUCCACUUCAGGUAGAUGACGACGAUCUUGUCCUCCUCAAGUUGUACCACCUUUCUUGAUUGCACCAGCUUGAUGAAGACUAGUAGAUUGCUCCUCCAUACUCCAGUAUGGGUGAGUCUCUUGUGAGCACAUCUUGACAUGUCCAUUAUCACCAUAAUGGACGACAAGCUUCAAGCAUGAUCUCUUCGUGAUGCUCCACUUGAACUUGCAUAACACAACCUUGAUGACGAUCACCACUUCAUGUCAUCAUCCAUGGGUUAUAUGAAAUCUUCCUCUUUAUGCAAGCCCAUGGAAAAAUACCUAACCCCUUAUAGAACUACCACACAAAUAGAUCAUGAGUUAGUACACAAAGCGCAAUGGACAAUGCUUACCAUACCGUGAGAUUACUUGAUCCCACACGGUACAUCUUCUAUGCUUUGUGUGUUGAUCAACUUGAAUGCAAUCUUUGUACUUAUUUUUUGAUCAACAUUGUCUCUUAUAUUCUAUUCAUAAAGAUGAUAUCUUGAAGGUAAACAUGAAUGUUCACACAAUCUUCUUAUUCAAGACAUGCUUGCAAUAAGCUCAACUCACACAUGACCAAUCUUUGGAUAAAUCCUUGAAUACCACCUUAGUCAUCACAUAAACUCCUUGAAACCAAUAAAUGGACUUAAAAAAAAAUUCUAUGGACAAAUCUUUUGAAUAUAACUCAAGGCAACCAUUAGUCCAUAGAGAAGGUCAUCAAUUACCAAAACCACAUAUGGGGGCACCAUGCUCUUUCAUGGGCGCCGAUGGAUGGGACGAUGGUGGCACCCUGGGUGGAUAUGGCGGUGGGGGUGGGGUGGUGGUGCAGAGGCCAUCAAUUAGGUGGCAACGUCAAUGGUCAUGAGGGGGUGAUGGUCGUGGGAGAGUAUGACCUAUGUUCCACAGAUGGGUGGGCCAGGGAAGGACAUGGGGAGAACACCGCAGGCGUGUGUUGCAUGUCCGCGCAAAUGCAAAACCAACCCAAAUUUAAAACAGAAAUGUGUCCAAAUGGAUAUGAAAACGAGCACCCGUUAAGUUGGGUUGUUGUUUUAUUUGUGCCUACCCAAACGAACGUGGACGGAUGAAACGGGUUGACAUUUGGAGUUAACUCCAACGCACGACCACAAGCAUACGUUGGUCUUGUCCGAGUUUUUUGUUUACAUCGGCCAAAUGGGGGGCCGUCCAACCACAUUUGACGAAAUAUGGCCGGUGCACCCAACCAUCCGAUGCAUUUCAUUUGCGCACUAGAAUUUUAUGCAAGCAUCUAAAUUUUGGGCCAACAACCAUGGUUCAUGCCGGAGUCCGUCGUAUGUUCCGGUGGCUCACAUACAUGCAGGCCUACAAAAUGAAAAUGUCACUAUUCAUGUCGGCACACUUGCUGGCACACAAAAGGACAUAGUUCAUGCAUCUUGGCCAACAAAAAUCAUGGUGCUCUCAGCCAUAGUUCACCCAUCUUGCUCGAGCAAAUAUUUUUUCCUCUUCUCAAACCAAAGCCUUCUCCUUGGGAACACCUUGUUCAAGUCGAUGGUCAUGAUCUCCACUUCCUUAGCGAUGAUUGUGAGCUUCACCUUGUUUGAUUUUGUCUUUGCAAAGCUCGCCUCAAUCUAGAGCUUCUUGAUUUGGACGUUCUCCUAGAUAUCGAGCUUCUUCUUUAGUAUCUCUAUGUAGGCCUUCAUAUGCUCCUCCUACUCUUGGCACAUCCUUUCCUCGCCUUCAUCAUAUUGGCCACCCUUCGACGCGGCCGCCACCGUUUUGGCUUUGUGUUUCCUCGACAUCGCAGCCUUGGCCAUCACCCUCGAAGAUGAUAUUCUACAUGAAAUCCUGGUAGUAGACCGGGUCAUCAUGCGUUGACGGUCGGUUCACGUUUCAUUAAAUGGGUUGCAUGUGCUAGGAAAGUUGGCUGUUGGAAUCACCCUAGGCCACUUCAUUUGCAUCCCGGUGGACGACUGACCGACACCGAAAACAUGGGUGGCGUUGAGAUUGACGGACGCACACACGAGGAUGGCCGACGCGAUAACACUAGUUUCUAGUGAGCUAUCUCUAGGCGAUGUGGAGAGGCGGGUAUGUCGGGUUAUGUGAGUGUUGGAACCCUGGUGUGCGUGGCGUUGUGGACGUGUGCGGCAACUCCUCUCGUAGAGGGCUGCUACUUGUAAACCGCGUUUGGAUUUUCCCCAAAGAGGAGGGAGAUGCAACAUAGUAGAGAUAAGUAUUUCCUCAAUGAGAACCAAGGUUAUGGAACCAAUAGGAGAGUCAUGGAAAACCUCCUUUAGCAACACCUACACACAGAGAACCAAGCACUUGCACCCAACGCGGGCAAGAUGGUUGUCAAGCCCCUUGCACUCGUUACUUGCAAGGAUUAAAUACUAAUAGAUAGAUAAUAGAAAUAAAUAAAAGUAAAUAAAAUAGUAAAUACAUGACAACAAAGUAUUUUUGGAGUUUUUGUUAUUAUGUUUAGGUAGACCUGGGGGCCAUAGUUUUCGCUAGAGGCUUCUCUCUUGAACAUAGCAUACAAUGGGUAAACAAAUUACUGUUGAGAAAUUGACAAAAUUACGCAUAGUUAUGACAUGUUAUUCACAACAAUGAUCAUGUAUAUAGGCAUCACAUCCAUAAACAAUUAGAUGAUCUCCUGCCUCAAUCUAUUACUAUUACUCCACUCAUCGACCGCUAUCCAGCAUGUAUCUAGAGUUUAAGUAUGAAACAUAGUAAUGCUUGGAGUAAGAUGACAUGAUGUGGGCAAAAUAAUACAAGCAAUAUGUUCAGACCCUAUCAUUCUAUCCUUAAUCACAACAAUACAAUACAUGUCAUGUCCCUUUCUGUCAUUGGGAUUGAGCACCGGAAGAUUGAACCCAUCACAAUGCACCACUCCCACUAAAUAUAAACCAGUCUAGUUGGCCAAACCAAACCGACAGACCAGAGAGAAAUACGAAGCUAUAACAAUCAUGCAUAAAAUAAUUCAGAGAAGAUUCAAUAUAUAUCAUGAAUAAUCUGAUCAUAAACCCAUAAUUCAUCGAAUCCCAACAAACACACUCAAGAGGAUUACAUCGGAUAAAUCACCACGGGAAUUGCGAUGAACUUUGUACUGAAGAUCAAAGAGAGAGAAGAAGCCAUCUAGGUACUAGAUAUGGACCCAUAGGUCUGUGGUGGAAUACUUAAAAAUCACCAUGGAGGCAACAAGAUUGAUGUAGAUGGCCUCCGUGAUCGACUCCCUCUCUGACAAGGCGUCGAAAAAGGUCUCCAGAUGACCUCCAUCGGAAUAGAGACUUUCGGCAGCGGAAAAAGUGUUUCGGAUGGAUAUCCGUUGGUUUCAUGAUUUUGUAGAAUUUAUGGAGGUGGAAUUAGGUUAGAUGGAGCCACGAGGAUCCACAAGGCAUCAGGACGCACCUACCCCCUGGACGCGCCAUGUUGCGUUGUCGUUUUCUUGUGUGUAGUAUGGUCUCCGUCUGAAACUUCCAGGUCCUAUUUUUGUCCAAAAAAAUCAUCAAAAAUGUUUCGUAGCAUUUGGACUCUGUUUGGUCCAGGUAUCUUGAAAAGUCAAAAACACUGAGAAAACGACAACUCGCACUUGGCAAUGGAUUAAUAGGUUAGUCUCCAAAAACAAUAUAAAAUAACAUAUAAUUGCAUAUAAAGCAUACAUGAUUGAUAAUAUAAUAACAUGGAAUUAUCGAUACGUUGGAGACGUAUCAACAUCCCCAAGCUUAAUUAUUGCUCGUCCUCAGGUAGGUAAAUGAUAAAAACAGAUUUUUUUUAAGUGACAUGCUACCCAACUGUGACAGCCUGAGACGGACGCUCCAGAAGAUUCCCCUUUUAUUCCAUUGCCGCCGUGCGAUUAGAUUGCAUGUCACAUUCAUCAUCGCAUCAUUCGCAUCAUCUGCAUUGCAUCGGCACCCCGCUGCCGUCAGUUUCAAAAACUUACAUCCGUUAUUAGUUGCCAGUUCUCCCCGUGUUCGUCGUUGACCAUUUUGAGACCAACCACACACGCACGCGCCCGCAACAUCGUUAAAAUAUUGUUUGUAAAAGUGUGUAUAAAACAUUCUCGAAUUGGGUUGAAACUUGGCGUGCGGUCUUAUUUUAAUGUAGGUAGGCCGCCUGCCAAAUUUCGUGGCAAUUGGAGUUUGUUUGAUACACGUACCGUUAAUUAUAUAUCGGCACUAUAGCCGGUUUAAUUGUCGGACGUUUUCGCGUUUAAUACUCUGCCACGGGCCACACUAUUUCCCUCUCAUCCCCCCAUAGCCCAACUACACAGUCCACUAGACCCAUCUAGCAACUUCCUUCGUUCGUGGUCGUCGGAUCGCGAUCGGACGGACGAGGUCCAACCCACCAUAGCCUAACCCUAUAUAAGACCCACCCCAUGGAGAGAGCUCUCUCUCUCUCUACUAGGGUUUCCUCUAGCCAAAUUUGCAGCCACCCCCUAGAAAAUCCCACCUGCUAAGCCAAACCCUCUAAAUCCCGCAGCCCUAGCCUCCCCAGCCCAUCUCAUCCAUCAAAUCUUGAUCUAAGGGCUCAGAUCGCCCGGAAACCCCACCUACCGGACAUGUCCGCGGCCAAAUCGGACAUGUGCGGGUGUCCACAACCUCCCGGAGCCAUGGAGGAGCCCGAGCUCCCAUAGCCUCCGCGCCCGAGUAGCGCGCUGCAGCACCCGCCAUUCCCCGUCGGAGCGUGUGGCCCCCGAGCUCCUUCGUCGGAGAGCCGCCGUGUGGCCGCCUCCUUGCCGCAACUACAACGUUAGUCGGCGCCGUCCAAGCUGCCGCGGACCACCGCCGGUAGCCACCUGGAGCUGCUCCGCCGCCGGCCCUCCCUAGGUCUUCUUCGGCCAUGGAUCCGACAGAUCCCUCCUUCCCCAACCGGAUCCACCUCCCCGCUGGUGCCUCGCCCCCGCCUCGCCUGCUGCCCGCCGUCGCCGUCGGCUGCCGUCGCCACCAUGGCCUCGCUCGCUCGGGAUGAGGACGACCGACGCAACAACACGUGGGCUGCAACUCGCGUUGCCAUGGGCCGUCCUCCAACUGCCCGCGCCCCAGCCCAGCAAGCCUCGAGGCCCAUCGGGCGUGCUCCCCCGUGCCUGGCCGAGCCGGCCUCCUCCUCGCAUCGGCCCAGCACCGCGCCGAGGCCGGCCAACCCACCUUCAAGCUGGGCCUCAAGCCCACAAGGUGAGCGCCCCGCUAAGCCCCGCCCUGAGCGCGUUUUAAUCAAAUGCCGCUCGCUGCCAUGUUAGGCCCAAAUCAUAUUCGACCCUUUAGUUUUUAUUUAGGUUUUUCGGAUUUAUUAAUUUCAGCAAAAGGCAUAUUUUCAAACGUCCGUAGUUUUUAAACCGUGCGUCGGAUCGCGACAAAUUAUAUAUGUGGAACGUGUAGAAUUUUGCGUAGAUUAAUAUUUUUCAACUCUCAUGCAUAGUUAAAACUUUUUAGCAUACUGUUUGCAUCGGUUUGCGUGUCGAUGUGAUAGAAAUGAUUUAGGUCGUAGUUAAUUAACCGUAGCUCCGUUGGAGAUGAGCCAUAUAUGUUAAUAGACCAGAAUGACGAGUAGAAUGUGAACCACUUUGUUUUUCCGUUUAACAAACAUAAAAAGUGAUUAGGACAGAUCUGGACAGAUUGCAAAGUUAACGCGUGGGGUCGUUUCAGAAAUGCUAUAUGUUGUUUCCGGCCUCAUUUAAAAUGCUUAGAUAGAGUUUAAUUUGUGCUUCACCCCUUGCCAUGUUUAACAAUAUUCAAUAUUUCCGUGUAAAUAAACGGGAGUGAACUAAAUAAUUAAAUAUGGAGUUUCGUCAAUACGCAACUUGUUGCAUAUUGGGCUUCACUUAAUGUGUAGUGUUUGCGUGAUGUGAAUUGCCAUGCCAUGCAUUGCAUAUUUGAAAUGGUUAUGCAUCAUCUUAGGUAGUGCAUCAUGUCGUGCCUAUGACGUGGUGAAUACUGUGUGUUGAUACUUGUUUUCGGUUUGCUUCGUGUCGAUUUUAGUUCCGCAAGCGUCUCGGAUUGUGAGGAUCCGUUUGACUACGUCGGUUCGUCUGCUUCACGGAGUUCUUUCUUCUUCCAAGCGGUAUUACAUGCACGAUGAUCAUUUCCCUAGAUACCAUUACUAUCAUCACCAAGCUAGUUGUAUCGUUUCUAUCAUUAUGUCUUGCUGCCUACGACCUGUUUAAUAUCAACCUCCCAACCUUGCCAUGAAAACCUUCAACCUUUCUACAACCUAAGAAACCACUGACUGGCUAUGUUACCGCUUCCUUAACCAUUUGAUAGAGUUGCUAGUUGCAGGCGCAGUUGCCUCCAUGUGAUAACAUGGGUUCCUUGUUAUAUUACCAUAUUAAUGCUAUUUAAUUUAAUGCACCUAUAUACUUGGUAAAAGGUGGAAGGCUCAGCCUUUCUAGCCUGGUGUUUUGUUCCACCUUUGCCCUCUUAGUUUCGGCUACCGGUGUUAUGUUCCAUAAAUGAGCGCUCCCAACAUGCUUGGGGUUGUUAUCGGGACCCCCUAGAUUCUCUUUUUGGGAUAAAGCUCGUCUGGCAAGGCCCAACAUUGGUACUAUUUGCCCAAUAAAAAACUAAAACAUGCAUAGGGUUUGAUCACCCCAUGGAUAAUUAAUCAAUCCCCGGGCCAGUGCUCCGCAUCAGUGAUGGUCCAACCUGUCAACCGCCAGUGGCUACCAGGGGCAACUCUGUGAUUGGCCUACCGAAAGUUUGGACAAUCUAUCGUGUCCUCAGAACGAGAUACUCAGCUCCUAUCAGGAUCGUCGACACGCCGGGCGGCCUUGCUGGACUUGUUUUACCUUUCUCAAGCGUCUUGUGCGAGGGAUUCCGAGGAUACUUUUGGCUAUCUCGAGGUUCAGGUUUUCCAAUAGGAACCCGAGGAGAUCACGGGUUUCCCCGAUCGAGGUCAUUCCGUCGCAGCGUGUGGUAGUUUGUGAUGGACUAGUUGGAGCAUCCCUGCAUGGUUAAAUCUUUCGGAAAAGCCAGGCCCACAGUUAUGUGGCAAUGUGGAAACUUUGUUUAACAUCCUGUUAUAAUAACUUGAAGUAAGCUUAAUUAAAAUAUGCCAACUGAGUGCGUAACCGUGACUAUCUAUUUUGUGAGCUCCUUCUCCGUUCGAGGACACGGUGGGGUUAUGUCUGAUGUAAGUAGGUGUUCAGGAUCAUUCUUUUGAUCAUCAGUAGUUCACAUCCGCUAUGCGUAGAUCAUCCCCCCUCUUUACUCUUGUACUCGUAAGUUAUCCACCAAAUAAAUGCUUAGUCGCUUGCUACAGUCUCACCACUUAAGCAUACCUCACCCAUUAAGCUUUGCUAGUCUUGAUACCUUUGGAAAUGAGAUUGUUGAGUCCCCGUGGCUCACAAAUUACUACAACACCAGUUGCAGGUAAAGGUAAAGUGAUAUUAUGAUGUGCGCGCGAUGAUUGUGCUAUUUGGAGUUUCUUCUUCUUCUUCUUUGUCGAUCUAGGAUCGGUUCCAGGCCGGCAGCCUGGGAUAGCAAGGAUGGACAUCGUUUUUAUCGUUUGUUUUCGUCCGUAGUUGUACCCUGCUCUUCUUCAUGAUGAUUGUAUGUAUUGUACUGAUGUGACUCUGAUGUAGCUUGUGGCGAGUGUAAGCCAACUCCUUAUACUCAUCUUUUCAUUGUAUGUACUUGCAAGGAUAUCCAUUCUUGCGAAACGACGAGAUGCGUUUCUAUCCCUACCGAGGCCCUUGCGCCAAAAUAAGGAUAGGACCGCAUCUUGGGCGUUACACCAAUAUGUAAUCUCUUUUAGGUAUGAUCUUGAGAAAUGUUGAACUAAUUGAUAUCAACAUAAUAAUAUCCAUAAGCACAAAUGACAUAAUCAUUGAUAUUCAAAAUAUAUGUUCCUUAAAGAAUAUUACUCCCUAGUCAUUUUUAUCACAUUAGCAUGGCAUGACUCCGUCCUCACCGCAUAAGUAUAAAUCAUGAGCACCUCGGUGUCAAGUCAGGUAAUUGGAUCGUAUUUCUAACAUGCUUCAACAUUUUAAACCUCACUUAGUACACGAGACUGAACCAUGGAUAUGUCAUAUGGGUGGAAUAGAAUAUGGUGGUAGAGAUCAAAAUGAGUCAAAGUGGAAAAACAAUUCUCACAUCAACUAAGCGGACAACGUGCUACGGAUAUGCCCGUCAAUCAAUAUCGAUGUGAGGAGUAGGGAUUACCAUGCAAGAGUUGCUUGAUACUUGUAAACUGCGUUGGGAUUUUCUGGGAGGUGCAACACAGUAGAGAUAAGUAUUUCCCUCAGUGAAAACUAAGGUUAUCAAACCAAUAGGAGGACCACGCAAGUUCUCGUCUUCAGCGCCUAGACACAAAAGAGCACACACUUGCACCCAAUGAAGGGAAGAGGGUUGCCAAUCCCCUUGAACUCGUUACUUGCAAGCCAUAAGUAGUGAUAGAUAGAUUAUAUAUAUAAUAAAAUAACAUUAAAUAAGAGACAUCAAUAUUUUUGGUGUUUAAAAUAUAUUUGUGAAGACCCCGGGGGGCAUAGUUUUCGCUAAAGGAUUCUCUCUCGAAGAAAGCAUACGGUUGGUAAACAAAUUACUGUUGGGCAAGUGAUAGAAAAGCACAUAGUUAUGAAAUAUUUAUUCAUGACAAUGAUCAUAUAUAUAGGCCUCACAUCCAUAAGCAAGUAGACCCACUCCUGCCUGCAUCUACUACUAUUACUCCACCCAUCGUGCGCUAUCUAGCAUGCAUCUAAAGUAUUAAGUAAAAAAGAGUAAUGCUUAGGGCAAAGUGACAUGAUGCCGACAAAGCAAACUCAAUAGAUAUGAAUAAACCCCAUCAUUUUACCAUUAAUGGUAGCAAUAAAAUACGUGUCAUGUCCCUUUCUGUCACUGGGAUUGAGCACCGCAAGAUUGAACCCAUUACAACGCACCACGCCCGGUGAAGAUAAAUCAAUCUAGUUGGCCAAACCAAAUGAUAGAUCGAAAAGAAAUACAAAUCUAUCAUAAUCAUGCAUAUAAGAACUUAGAGAUGACUCAAAUGCUUUUCAUGAAUAAUCUGAACAUAAACCCACAAUUCAUAGGAUCCCAACAAACACAUUGCAAAUUGGAUUACAUAAGAUAGAUCACCACGGGAAUCGUGGUGAUAUUCACAUUGAAGAACAUAUAUAUAUACAUAUAUGUAUAUAUAUAUAUAUAUAGAGAGAGAGAGAGAAUGAGAGAGAGAGAGAGAGAGAUCUACGAACCUGUACGUCUGUGGUAAACUACUCACACAUCACCAUGGGAGGAGAAAGGUUGAUGUAGAGGCCCUCCGUGAUUGAUCCCCCCUCUGGCUGGGCAACAAAAUAGGGCUCGAGAUGUGAUCACGGCGGAACAGAGACUUGCAGCAGCGGAAAAAGUAUUUUAGGUCGGUUCAAUCUUGGGGUGCUCAAUCCGAGUGAAAGAAAGGGACAUGCAACAUAUUGCAUUGCUUCCACUAAGGGUAAAACAAUGGGGGCUCAUUCAUAUUAAUUGGAUUUAGUUUGUCUACAUCAUGUCGUCCUCCAAGCAUUACUCGGUUUUUACUUAAUACUCUAGAUGUAUGAUGGAUAGCGGUCGAUGGGUGGAGUAGUAGUAGUAGAUGCAGGAAGGAGCCAAUCUAUUUGCUUAUGUACGUGAUGGCUAUAUACAUGAUAAUUGCCAUGAAUAAAUAUAGCAUGACUAUCCGCUUUUCUACCAAUGGCCCAAUAGUAAUUUGGUUGCCCACCUUGUGAUUUCUUCGAGAGAGAAGCCUCUAGCAAAAAUUAUGACCCCCCGGUCUCUUCACAAAUAUAUCACUACACUACAAAAAUACCUUGAUGCCUUUUAUUAUUUGCAUUUACUUUUUCUAUUUAAUAUAUUUUUAUUAUCUAUCUAUCACUACUUAUCGCUUACAAGUAACGAGUUCAAGGGGAUUGACAAUCCUCUUGCCCAUGUUGGGUGCAAGUGUGUGCUCUUUUGUGUGUAGACGCUAAAGAGAGGAAAUUGGAUGGUCCUCCUAUUGUUUCGAUAAUCUUGGUUCUCACUGGAAUACUUACCUUUACCGUGCUGCAUCAUCCCCUCCUCUUCGGGGAAAAUCCCAAAGCAUUUCACAUGUAUGAGGAAGGAUAUCUCGCGCAUUGUGGGGGAGUAUCACCAAGUUCGUAUCAAGUAACUUCACACAAAUUAUCAUUCACUUGUUCUAUUUUUUACUUGUUGUUAUAUUUUAGUGAUAUAAAAAACAAAAAAAAACAAAAAAGUAUCUUUGCUAGUUUACUUGUUUGCUUGUUACUUUGCUACUUUGGUCACUAUGUCUCUACAUAGAUUCUAUAAUAUUUAUUACAACCAAAGGUUGGCCGCAAUUGAAAGCUCCAUGAAAACUUUCAUGACCACACAACAUGAGCACAAUAAAUUCUUUGGUGCCGAAAUCAAGGAACAUUCUAGCUUGCUAGAUGCUAUUAGUAAAGAACUUGAUGAAGUCAAUAGGGAAGUAUCUAAUCUCCAAUCAAAAUUUGCUCAAACUGAAGAAUUUAUAGGAAAGAUAUCUGAUAAGCGAACCACUCUAGUAAAGAGCAUGGCCACUAAACCAGAAUAUUUCCCUAUUAUUAAUCAUGAUGAAUAUCUUAAAAUGAUUGGUACUUAUCCCAUUAAAUCUUUGUUUACUAAUCAAAAAAUAGAUGAUAAAGGGACUAUAGAUGAGCCAUCUUUAUCUAGAAGGCACCCCGUUUGUUCGGUGGUGAGUAUCUUAAUGAUAAAAAAUAGGUUUGGGGAAGUCAGUAAUUUAACUAGUGAUGCCCCACUAUCUUGGAUUACAAGGAUUUUAAUUAUGAGAGUUGUUCGUUAGUAGAAUGUAUUUCCUUGUUGAAAUCCAUUAUUACCUCACCCAAUGCCUAUGAACAAAAUAAAGCUUUUACCAAACAUGUAGUAGAAGCGAUGGUAAAAUCUUAUAAAGAGAAACUUGAGCUAGAAGUUAUCUAGAAAAUAUCAUGAUGAAUGUGUAGAAUCCGAAGUAUGUCUAGGGGGAGGGGUGAUUAGACUACUUGACAAGAUAAAAACUUAGCCUUUUCCCAAUUUUAGUUGUGGGCUGGUUUUAGCAAUUAUGACUAGUCAAGUUCACCCUACACAUGCAUAUCUAAGAGUGUUGUAGCGAAAAGUAAAGACAUGCAAAUGUAAUGUAGAGGGUAAUGUAGGAAGAUCAAACACAAAGAUUGACAUGGCGAUUUUGGCAUGGUUCCGAUAGGCGGUGCUAUCGUAUGUCAACGUUAGUAGAGACUUCAACCCAUGGAGGGUAACGACUACGGGAGCCCAUGGAGGGUUCCACACACAAGGGUUCCACAAAGAGGCGGCCUUGUCUAUUCCACCAUGGCUUACGUCCACACAGGACUAGCGUCACUCAUGGUAGAUCUUCACGAAGUAGGCGAUCUCCUUGCCCUUACAAACUACUUGGUUCAACUCCGCAACACGAAGUAGGAGGCUCCCAAGCGACACCUAACCAAUAUAGGAGGCACCACCCUCCAAAAGGUAAUAUAUGCGGUAGAUCGAUGAACUCCUUGCUCUUGUGCUUCAAUAGAAAGUCACCUCAACAUUCAAUCACUCUCUCACAGAUUUGACAGGGGUAGGAGAGAUUGAUCUUGUGGAAAGCAACUUGGGGAGGCUAGAAACCAAGGUUCAAAUGGUUAGAUUGGAAUCUCUUGAUCUGAACACAUGAGUAGGUGGCUCUCUUUGAGAAAAAAUGGAUCACGCAAGUGUAAGUGUGUUCCGAGUGCUUCCUCUAUGAAUGCGAGGAGGUGGAUGGGGUAUAUACAGGCAUCCCCCAAAAUCCAACUGUUACAACAUUAUUUCCCAACUCAGUGACACCGAAAUGAAUCUCAGUGGUACCGAGUUGCACUAAAUGUGGUAACUUUUGAAUUCUCAGUGAGACCAAUAUAUAAAUCUUGGUGGUACCGAUACGAUGAUCUAGACCUGAUCCCAAAUCUCGGUGAGACUAAUUCCAUUCUUGGAAAUUCCGAUUUCUGGAAUUUGCUCAACAGAAAGUUGGUCACUAAAUCUAGGUAGCACCAAUAUAGAAGUUGGUGGUACCAAGAGAUUAGGGUUUGGCAAAGGAUGUUUCUGGUGGAAAAUCGGUAGGGCCGAAUGGAAAAAGUUGGUGGCACCGAUUUUUCUAGUUUAGUUUUGGACAGAGAUAUUUUGUGGGAGAAUGAAUGAGUAUUUUUGGUGGCUACCUCUAAGCACUUGAGAAACUAAUUCAUCAUAAUACCUCACUCCCUUUUAAAAGUAUUGUCUUUCAUAUGGACUCAAAGUGACUUCUCACAAAUGAAAAAUGUAGAGUCUUCUUGCUUGACGCUUGAGCUAAUCCUAUUCCUUCCUUUAUCAACGGGUUUCUCCUCACAAUCCUUUAGACAAAGAAUCUUUGAAAUUUUCUGAAAUAUACUUGGAUAAGAUCAUUAGUCCAAUGAUGCAUAUGUUCUGAUCAAUUAUCGAAACCACCUUAGGCACCAGUUGUGCUUUCAAUCUCUCCCUUUUUGGUAAUUGAUGACAACAUAUAGAUCAAAGCUUCGACAAAAGAUAUAAUGAAUGAUUAGCAUCGAUGCCUUGAGAAGUAUGUGAAAAGAAAGAGCUCCCCCUAAAUUUGUGCAUUAUUUUAAAUUUUCCUUUGAAUGCAAAUGCACAAUCGAGUAGGAUCAUGGGUCACUCUUCCAUGUCACAUACAACUUGGUGGUGCGCAUAAAUGAUAUGAAUGAAUUGUAAUGCACAUAACACCAACUAGGCAAGUGAAUGAUCAUCAUGUAGAUAGCUCAAAAGUAAUAACAUGGUAACAUCAAACAAUCAAAGUAUAUGAUCAAGCACUUCUCCUAAAGGAUAAAGUCAUCCAGAAGACCAAAAGUUUUGAAAAACCAAAUAAGAGCAAAUAAAAAGCAAAUCUCUCUUUCUCUCUUGAAGCCCUAUUUGAUCUAUGCACUUCUCCCCCUUUGGCAGCAAGUUACCAAAAAGUUCAAAGGUCUAGAACUAAUCGUUUCUCUGGGCUCGAUUGCCUCUGAUAGCUAAUGAUGGAGUGGAAAAAAGAGCAUCAACGAAGGCUUCUGCAGAUGUCCCUGGAGCACGAGGUGUAGACACUGGAGGUGGAGGAGCAAGAAGGUGCUGAAGCUUGGGCUGAUGAAGUUGGUCUUGUUUCAGAGCUGACACAACCGCUGACCUAGUCUGGGUCGUGAACUCAGUAGUAGUGGGAAGGGGUGACUCUUCAUCAUCACUGCUCGAGUGGGAUAUAUGCACUAAAUCAACUUCAUGCUAGAUCUGCUCAACAGUGGUAGUCAACUCCAUUACCUUGAUAUCCAGGUCAUGGAAUUUUGUCUCCACAAUCCUCUAGAGGCUCUUGUGGUUCAACAAGAUCUCAUGAAUUUUCUUCUGCAUCCCUUGGACGGUGCUGACAAGGAAUGACAUAUGCUCAUCUCUGGUCUUGAGCUGUGGAGCUGGAGAUGGAGCAUUCCUAGCGGCCUCUACCUCUGCUCCCUCUCGAGCUGUAGCUGAGCUGGGAUGGCUAGAGUCCAUCACAACUUCAUUGUCUUCAAACUUUGGCUGAAGUGGCAGGUGGGGACAAUCAAGUAGAUAUGCAAGCUUGCCAAUCUUGGCAUUGAUGAGCAUCUGAAUAUAUGGAGCAUAUCCACGCGAUCACUUCUAGUCUGUACGAGUCCUCCUGACAGUCUCAACUAUCAAGUCCAUUACUCGAAACCGGGUGUGGGUGUCUAGAUGAUGUAGUAUAUUGAUGGAAUAACCUCUAAUCAUCUUACCAUCUCCUGAUUUGGGCAUCAGGGCGUAUCUCAUAAUGGUGUUUUUAGUAGGUAUUCGUACUUGCAAAAAGUAGACAAAGCCAAACUUGUGCGUCUGCACACAUUUAUGGGGCACUGGCUUGUACAUAUUUUCCAUGGAGUUAUGAUUCAUCUUGGGUUAUGAGUAUACAUCCAGGUCUCCUUCUUGUGCCUUUGUGACACCAAUAAUAGUGGCCCACUCGUCCAUGGUAGACUCAUACUGGUGACCUUCAGUCAUCCAUACAAUACUUCCAUUAGAAUAAAAAUGAGCGAUGGAAUAUAAUUGCAUGAUCAUCGCAUCGUUUCAUGCAGUCAUCUCNNNNNNNNNNNNNNNNNNNNNNNNNNUUCCCUACAAAAUCUUCAAUGUCGACUAGCUUGAAGUUUUCUCUCACAUGAGGAAAAUAAUGUUCAUUGGCCUUGAUGUAUUCCCAAUUGACAUAUCUCAUGUCACUGACUACAGGACUCUUGUCAAGCAACACCAUCUCAUAGAAAUCUUGUUGCUCUUUGGUGUGAAAGCGGGGAUCAAUAACAAUUAUCCUUUUGACAUCAUAAGGAUCAACUUCCAUCCAGUUCCCCAGUCCUUGAUCUAUUCUCCUUUCAUGUCCUCAGCAACUGGAUGACCAUCAUUGUGCGAUGGCAAAUGAGUUCUCGACUUCAUUAGCAUAGGUGCAUCCUCUUCCUCCUCUCCAACAAACUCUCUGGAUGCAUAGCCUUUGUUCUUCUUUGUUGCAGGGGUGUCCUUGGUAGUCCUCUUGGGAGCUACAAGCUUCUUAGGAGCUGAAGACUUCUUGGGAGCAGAAUGCUUCUUUGGCAUUGCAACAGCCAUUAGCUUCUUCUUCUUAGGAGGUGGGACCUCAGCUGGAAUUUCUUCCUCCUCGUUAUCAACAGCUUCUGCUGGGUCUUCGUACAUUGAGGUUGGCCUACCAACAUCAUGGACAAUUCUCUUUCUCACUCUCUUUUGACCUGACUUCUGUGCAAGACUAGCUUCCGGAGCUUUUAUGUCAUCAGGUCUCGCAUCUCGUUCCUCAGAGUCUUCCUGACUGUGGUCUUCUCUUUGUGCUUCUAGGGAGUAGUUUCCUCUCGGAUAAGGUCAACAUCUUCUUCAUAUGAACUCAACUUCCUUCUGGACCUGGUAGCUGCCUUGGGCAAGCCAUGUGAGCUAAGUGUUCCUUGGUUAGAAGGUGUCCUCUCAGGACUAGUGCCUGAGUCCAUUUUAGCACUAGGCUCACUAAAGUUGUUCUGAUAUUCUCAGAUCCUGACAUUCUGUCAAAACGGCCAAGCAGACAAGCAGACCCUAUGAAAGGAUAUGUAGGAGCUAGAAAGGAUGAGCAUCAUAAAAAUCAGAAGUUUUUAAAAAAUUGAACUCUGAAAAGUUAGGUUUAACAUUCAGCAAUAAGGGAUUUCAGUUCCACCGAGUCGAAAAAUUCGUAGCCACCGAGACUGACUUUCUCAUUAACACAAACUUGGCACCCGUUUUGGUUUCACCGAAAAGGACAACUCGGUAUCACCGAGAUCAUUCUUAGUAGCCUGAAAACAAAAUCGAUAAGACCGACUUUUUUUAAUCGGUAACACCAAGAUUUAAUCUUGCGGACGAGUAACCCUAAUAAUCCAUUGUUCUCUAAUCUAUGAGAAUUCUCUUAUGGAUAGAAUGAGUGCACAAGUGGACAAAUUUCAUCACAGCCUAAUUGCGCAAGAAUCAGAAUUUGGAACGCAAAAAGGGCCAAAUCAAUACCCUAGCUUGGUGACGGAUCCGCUAUGGCGGCGACGACGGUGAAGAUUCCUGUCGAUGGCGAAGACUCGUGUGGCGAGGGCGCAUGAGAGAUUCAAGGUGAUGUCCAAGGGACCAAGGCGCGGCAACAAGGUGGUGCGGGAGGCGAGGUUUGAAGAAUUUUUCCAACCGUCGGGUCCAUGAUAUAUAUAUAUAUAUACACAUAUACAUAUAUAUAUAUAUAUCCUAGCUCUCGGUGACAAUAGGAUGGAAUUUUAGGUGCCACCGAGUUCCAUAACUGUCAGUACACAGUGAAACUCGGUGAGGCCAAAAAUGACAACUCGGUGGUACCGAGAUGAGAAAAUCCGAUCAACCCUAGGCUUCGGUGGGACUGAGAUUUUGAGGUUGGUCACACCGAGAUGCACUUUUGGAGGUUUUGAAAUUCAGCCCUUGGCGAGAUGGAUCUCCGAGUGCUCCUCACACAUAGUGUCCCUAAAGUGCUUGCUCAAAUUUUGUGAUGUAGAAUGAAAAGAAUUUGAGACGAGAAAGCAUAGAUAGCUAGAGGGAGGUACUUAGGCAUNNNNAUAGAUAGCUAGAGGGAGGUACUUACGCAUUCCUGUAUAUCCAAAUGGACAAUAAAAAUAGAAAGCGAGUUAACAACAAUUGGAUAUCAUCGAAUGAGAAAAAUAUGCAUACCAACAUGCUCACACAACAAGAUGUCAAAUAAAACAUGGUGAACAUGCACAAAUUUUGUAGCAUCAAUCAAGCACUUUGGAAAUGAUGAAGUAAUCUAUAUAUGAGUAUAUUGACUUAGAGCCAAUUAAGAAUACUUGAUCAUAGGUCAUACUCAUCGAUUAAGCACAGGUGGGGUUACCACUUUUACAUAAAGCAUUAAUGUGUUCACAUCUUUUGGGAGAUGCUUAUACUCAAGUCUUAGAGUAAAGCUCCCCCUUGAUGUGACAUCCCCCUAAGAGGGAUAAACUAACCUUGGGUUUUGUCGUAGAAGACUUCAAGUAGGUGUAGUAGUGGUGGAUGCUCAUUGUAGAUGAAGAUCAUCUUUGAGUUGGGAGCAAUCCUUGUUGUUUCUUACUCUUCUCACCUACAUGGGUUAGUCCCAAAGCACAAGGAACAUAUGGAAGAAUAUCUAUGGACAUGGAAUAAAGUGCAUGUGAGUUGAUGUCCAAAGAUGCAUUAAUUACCUUGUCCAUUGCUUACCUUUGACGGAAGGUGUGACUCCUUGAACUGAUGCAUACGGUUGGAGUUGAUUGCAUAUAGUUCUUGCCAAAAUUAAUGAGAGUGAAUUUCAUUGGCGGAGUCACCCCUGAAGAACUCUAUAGUUCUUCCUAAUGGGGACCCACAUCAACUUGAUGGGGAUCCUUGGAGUUGUGGUAGCACUAGAUGAGGUUGUGCUAGAAGUGUCCUUGGAAACCCACUCAACCUUGGCUUGGGGUUCUUCUUCAAAUGAGUCAAUCUCCUCUUGAAUCUUGUCCUUGCCCUUGUGGUCUUGUGGUGGAAGGUCAUCUUGAAAUCUUCUUUCCUUGGGAGGAGUAGGAUCAUACUUAUCCUCUCGAGGAACAAAUUUUGUAAUGGGAUAUGAACUUUCUUCCCAUUAAUCUCCGUUGUCAUUGGAGUAGCCAACACCUUGAUUCUUCUGAUGUCCUCCUUGCUUGCGCACAAUUUCCUCAAACUGCUUACAUGCGGCAAGACUCUUGAAGACACCUCUCUCUAUAAUUCCUUUCAAUAAGUCAUUUUCUUGCUAAAGUGUAACUUGGAUAAGAGAAUCAUUAGUGGAAUCAAGACAACUACUAGCAACAAUAUCAUUUGAUCUAACUUAAGCAUUGUUGUUACUAGAUGAAGAAACUUUCUUGCCUUUGUUACUAGUGUUCAUAGGUUUGACUUGUUGGAAUUAUGCCCUAGAGGCAAUAAUAAAUAUAGUUAUUAUUANNNNNNNNNNNNNNNNNNNNNNNNNNNNNNNNNNNNNNNNNNNNNNNNNNNNNNNNNNNNNNNNNNNNNNNNNNNNNNNNNNNNNNNNNNNNNNNNNNNNGGCUCUAUGCGCCAAGGAGAAGAAAAUCAAGAGAGAAAGAAAAAAAAGGAGGAGGUGGGAAGGAAGGGGACUCUCUCCCACCAAACCUAGUCCAACUCGGUUUGGGGGGGAGAGUCCUCCCCCUUGGACUCGGCCGACCCCCUUGGGGCUCCUUGAGCCCCAAGGCAAGGUCCCCUCCCUCCCACCUAUAUAUACGGAGGGUUUAGGGCUGAUUUGAGACGACUUUUCCACGGCAGCCCGACCACAUACCUCCACGGUUUUUCCUCUAGAUCGCGUUUCUGCGGAGCUCGGGCAGAGCCCUGCUGGGACGAGGUCAUCACCAACCUCCGGAGCGCCGUCACGCUGCCAGAGAACUCUUCUACCUCUCCAUAGUCAUCACCAACCUCCGGAGCGCCGUCACGCUGCCGGAGAACUCUUCUACCUCUCCGUCUCUCUUGCUGGAUCAAGAAGGCCGAGAUCAUCGUCGAGCUGUACGUGUGCUGAACGCGGAGGUGCCGUCCGUUCGGUACUAGAUCGUGGGACUGAUCGCGGGAUUGUUCGCGGGGCGGAUCGAGGGACGUGAGGACAUUCCACUACAUCAACCGUGUUCUCUAACGCUUCUACUGUACGGUCUACAAGGGUACGUAGAUCACUCAUCCCCUCUCGUAGAUGGACAUCACCAUGAUAGGUCUUCGUGCGCGUAGGAAAUUUUUUGUUUCCCAUGCGACGUUCCCAACAGAUAUGUGUUGGACAAGACAUUUUUUCAAUAGCAUCAACUUUAGCUUUAUCAACUUCAAUACCUCUUUCAGAGAUUUUGUGUCCCAAGACGAUGCCUUCAUUAACCAUAAAGUGGCACUUCUCCCAAUUCAAGACAAGAUUAGUUUCUUCACAUCUCUGCAAAACUCGAUCAAAGUUGCUCAAGCAAUCAUCAAAAGAAGUUUUGUAAAUGAAAAAAAUCAUCCAUGAAAACCUCAACAAUCUUUUCACAGAAGUCAUAGAAUAUAGCCAUCAUACAUCUUUGAAAGGUAGCAGGUGCAUUGGAUAAACCAAAAGGCAUACGUCUAUAAGCAAAGGUACCGAAAGGGCAAGUAAAAGUGGUCUUCUCUUGAUCCUCUUUAGAUACAGGUAUUUGAGAGAAACUAGAGUAACCAUCUAGAAAGCAAAAAUGUGUAUGUUUGGAUAGUCUCUCUAGAAUUUGAUCUAUAAAAGGUAGCGGGUAAUGAUCUUUCCUAGUAGCCUUAUUUAAUUUCCUGAAAUCCAUUACGAUUCUAUAUCCUGUAACAAUUCUUUGUAAGAUUAAUUCAUCUUUAUCAUUAGGAACAACGAUAAUAGCUCCCUUUUUAGGGGCACAAUGAACAGGACUAACCCAUCUACUAUCAGCAAUAGGAUAAAUUAUACCUGCCUCCACAAGCUUUGGUAUUUCAUUUCUUACCACUUCUUCAUCUUAGGAUUUAAUCAUCAUUGGUGAUCAACAACUGGUUUAGCAUGAGGCUCUAUAUUGAUUUUGUGCUGACAUAGAGUGGGACUAAUACCCUUAAGACCAUCAAGAGUAUAUCCAAUAGCGGCAUGGUGCUUCUUCAGAGUUUUCAGUAAUCUCUUUUCUUCAUGCUCUGAAAGGUUAGCACUAAUAAUAACAGGAUAUAUCUCUUUUUCAUCAAGAUAAGCAUACUUUAGAAUAUCAUGUAAUUGUUUAAGCUCAAACACGGGAUCAUCCUUAGGUAGAGGAGGAUCCCUGAGUAUUUCAACAGGCAGUUUGUGUUUCAAGAUAGGCUGGUGAUCAAAGAAAAUCUUAUCUAUUUCAUUCCUUUCAUUCAUAUACAUAUCAUUUUAAUGGUCUAGAAAAUAUUGUUCUAAGGGAUCGGUAGGAGGCACAACAAUAGAAGCGAGACCAAUAAUUUCAUAUUUACUAGGCAAUUCUUUGACAUGGGGUUGCCUACCAAAUUUAGUGAAAAUGAAAUCAUGAGAUGCAUCCCCAAAACUUACAGUAACCAUUUCUUUUUCACAGUCAAUCUUAGCAUUAAUAGUAUUCAAGAAGGGUCUACUGAAUAUAAUGGGAUAAAAAUCAUCUUGUGCGGAACCAAGAACAAGAAAAUCAGUAGGAUACUUUAUUUUCCCACACAAGACUUCAACAUCUCUAACAAUACUAAUUGGUGAAAUGGUAUCUCUAUUAGCAAGCUUGAUGGUAACAUCAAUUUUCUCUAAUUCGGCUGGUGCAAUAUCAUUCAUAAUUUCUUGAUAUAAGGUAAAGGGAAUUUCACUCACACUAGCACCCACAUCACAUAAGGCAUGAUAACAAUGAUCUCCUAUUUUUACGGAAACAACAGGCAUGCCAACAAUAGGUCUAUGUUUACCCUUAGUAUCAGGUCUAGUAAUUCUAGCGGCUUCAUCAUAGAAAUGAAUGACAUGACCAUCAAUAUUAUCAACCAAGAGAUCUUUAACCAUAGUAAUAUUAGGUUCAACUUUAAUUUUUUUUCCAGGUGGUAUAGGUGUUCUAUCAAAACUCUUACGAAUCACAGUUGAAGCUUUAGCAUGUUCCUUUAUCCUAACAGGAAAGGGUGCUUUCUCAAUGUAAGCAGUAGGAAUAACAUGAUCAGUAUUAUAAAUAUUAGUUUCAUCUCAACUUUAAUAGGUUCUACCAGUUUAACUUCAAUGGGGGGAUGCUAUUUAAACCACUUCUCCUUGGGGAGAUCAACAUGAGUAGCAAAAUAUUCACAAAAUGAAGCUACUGUCUCACAGUCAAGUCCAUAUUUAGUGCUGAAAUCACGAAAAGCAUUGGUGUUUAAAAAGGAUUUAACACAAGCAAACUUAAGGAUUAUACCUGACUCAUUACCUUCGUCGAGUUCCCAAUCUUCAAAGUUGUGUUUAAUUCUUUCCAAUAAGUCCCAUUUGAAUUCAAUAUCUUUCUUCAUAAAGGAACUAGCACAAGAAGUGUCGAGCAUGGAUUGAUCAUUGCGAGAGAGCCGAGCAUAAAAAUUAUGAAUAAUAAUUUCUCUCGGGAGCUCAUGAUUGGUGCAUGAAUAUAACAUUGACUUAAGCCUCCCCGAAGCUUGAGCGAUUCUUUCUCCUUCACGAGGCCAAAAAUUAUAAAUAUAAUUCCUAUCUAUUAACCAGAUGCAUAUGAUAAAACUUCUGAUGAAAUUCCAAUUUUAGUCGGUUGUAGUUCCAUGAUCCAAUAUCAUCACAUAGCCUAUACCAUGUCAAUGUAUUUUCCUUAAAAUACAAAGGAAAUACCUUCUUAUUGACAUCAUCCUCGGGCAGACCUGUAAGCUUAAAUAAUCCAGAAACUUCAUCCACAUAGAUUAGGUGCAAAUCACGAGGUAGUGUUCCAUCUCCUGCAUAAGGAUUAGCUAGCAGUUUGUCUAUGAUACCUGAAGGAAUUUCAUAAUAAAUAUUUUCAGCAGGUGCAGCAGGUUGAGGAGCAUAUCUUUGUGCUUCCAGUCGGGGUGAAGAUACCCCUAACAAGCCCCUCAAAGGAUUAUUUUUUAUAGUGACAACUCACAGUAAAUUUCAGCACAAUAUAUAAAUUUUUCCUUACCAAGUUCCACUUACCAAAGGCGCUUCACUCCCCGGCGACGAUGCCAGAAAAGAGUCUUGAUGAACCACAAGUAUAGGGGAUCUAUCUAGUCCUUUAAAUAAGUAAGAGUAUCGAAUCCAACGAGGAGCAGAAGGAAAUGACAAGCGGUUUUCGGUAAGGUAUUCUCUGCAAGCACUGGAAUUACCGAUGACAGAAAGUUUUGUGAUAAGGUAAUUUGUAACUGGUAACAGGUAACAAUUGUAACAAAGGUGCAGCAAGGUGGCCCUAUCCUUUUUGUAGCAAAGGAUAAGCCUGGACAAACUUUUAUAUAAAGAAAAGCGCUUCCGAGGACACAUGAGAAUUUAUGUCAAGCUAGUUUUCAUCAUGCUCAUAUGAUUCGCGUUUGUUACUUUGAUAAUUUGAUAUGUGGGUGGACCGGUGCUUGGGUGCUGCCCUUACUUGGACAAACCUCCCACUUAUGAUUAACCUCUCUCGCAAGCAUACGCAAGUACGAAAGAAGAAUUAAGAUAAAUCUAACCAUAGCAUUAAACAUAUGGAUCCAAAUCAGCCCCUUACGAAGCAACACAUAAACUAGGGUUUAACCUUCUGUCACUCUAGCAACCCAACAUCUACUUAUUACUUCCCAAUGCCUUCCUAUAGGCCCCAAUAAUGGUGAAGUGUCAUGUAGUAGACAUUCACAUGACACCACUAGAGAAGAGACAACAUAUAUCUUAUCAAAAUAUCGAACGAAUACCAAAUUCACAUGAUUACUUAUAACAAGACUUAUCCCAUGUCCUAAGGAACAAACGUAACUACUGACAAAGCAUAUUCAUGUUCAUAAUCAGAGGAGUAUUAAUAAUCAUUAAGGAUCUGAACAUAUGAUCUUCCACCAAAUAAACCAACUAGCAUCAACUACAAGGAGUAAUCAACACUACUAGCAACCCACAGGUACCAAUCUAAGGUUUUGAGACAAAGCUCGGAUACAAGAGAUGAACUAGGGUUUGGAGAGGAGAUGUUACUGAUGAAGAUGUUGAUGGAGAUUGACCCCCUCUCGAUGAGAGGAUCAUUGGUUAUGAUGAUGGCUUCGAUUUCCCCUUGCGGGAGGGAAGUUUCCCCGACGGAAUAGCUUCGUCGGAGGUCUAGAUUGGUUUUGUCGAAGUUCCACCUCGAGACGGCGGUGUCGCGUCCCGAAAGCUCUGAUAUGAUUUUCUCCAUGUCAAAACCCUUCAUAUAGCAGAAGAUGGGCACCCGAGGCCUGCCAGGGGGGUCCACAAGCCUGCAGGGCGCGACCAGGGGGGUGGGCCACGCCCCCUGGCUUGUGACCUCCUGGUGGGUCCCCUCUAGUACUUCUUUCGCCUAUUAUUUUUUAUAUAUUCCAAAACAAUUCUUCAUAACUUUUCAUGACUUUUGGAGGUGUGCAGAAUAGGUUUCUCAUAUUUUCUCCUUUUCCAGUCGAGAAUUCCAGCUGUCGGCAUUCUCCCUCUUCAUGUAAAUCUUGUAAAAUAAGAGAGAAACGACAUAAGUUUUGUACCAUAAUGUGUAAUAAAAUCCCAUACUUGAAUAAAUAUUGAUAUAAAAGCUUGAUGCAAAAUGUAUGUAUCACAUACCAUUGAAAAAAUAGCGUGGUAGAACUUGAAUAAAUCCAAAAAAUUAUGCGAGCACUAAUGUCAAAUCUAAGACUUGAAGUUGGAUGGUUUGAUUUCACCAUAAUGAACCUAACCAUCUAAGUGAAGCUUAGUUCGCUUCUUCCUUCUCUCAUAACUAAAAAUAUCAUAAUGCUAUUUCGUCCAUCUUGUUCUUCUCCCCUCUCUAUUUUCCCCUUAUGUCUCUAAUUUUCUCAUCGGGUUUCUCUAAAAAAAUAUUAACGCGUCACGUGUCAUUGACUUACCAAACAAACUUUUGUAUUUUAUAAUCCAAUAAAUUAUUACCAAAUAAGUAUCUCCUAAAUAAAAUCAUAUUUUCAUACAAUCCCAUAAUUUUUGGAAAAUAAAUUAGCGUGCUAGAAUAUUUAUACCUGUUGCAAUAAAUAAAUAAAAAUUAAAGUCAAUUUAUCUACUCAUAAGACUAAAAAAGAAUGUAAGGUUCUCUUGCCCACCUCCUUAUUUGUCCAACUUUAUGUAUGUUAGAACGUCACAUUGAUAGCCAUGACUCCCAAACCUAGUCGUUGCCACCAAAACUUCCCUACANNNNNNNNNNNNNNNNNNNNNNNNNNNNNUACACAUCGUCACCUUGUCCCUCUCAUCUUCCCCACCUGGUGGCCUUGUUGACAAGAAUAGGAGUGGGAACCCGUAUGAUUCAUUUUCUUUUCCUUAGGUUAUUGUUUUCCUAAUGAAAACAACGAGGUGGUGGCGGUGAUGGAGUGUUGGUAAGGUUUCUUGGGUCACUACCUACCUCGAGGACGUAUGAUCUGGCACCGACGAAGGAUCUAUGAGAGUUUGUGUCCCCAGAUAUGUUGGUCUUGGCAGAUCAAGUGUCUUUUAAGGAGACUAUUGAUUGGCUAUCAGCACAAUGACUUUGUUAGGGAACGUUGCAUGGGAAACAAAAAAAUUCCUACGCACACGAAGACCUAUCAUGGUGAUGCCCAUCUUCGAGUGGAGAUUGGAUCUACGUACCCUUGUAGAUCGCACAAUAGGAAGCAUUAAGAAACACGGUUGAUGUAGUGGAACGUCUUCACGUCCCUUGAACCGUCCCUCAAACCUUCCCACAAACCGUCCCACGAUCCGUUCCGAUCUAGCGCCGAAUGGACGGCACCUCUGCGUUCAGCACACGUACAGCUCGACGAUGAUCUCGGCCUUCUUAAUCCAGCAAGCAAGACGGAUAAGUAGAUAAGUUCUCUGGAAAUGUGAUGGCGCUUCGGUGGUGGUGAUGAUCUACUCCUGCAGGGCUCCGCCCGAGCUUCGCAGAAAUCUGAUCUAGAUGUGAAACUGUGUGGUAUAGGCUAGAGUUGCACAUGGCAAAGUUGUGUCUCAAAAAGCCCUAAACCACCACUAUAUAUAGGAGGGAGGGGGAGGGGCUAGCCUUGAGGCACAAGGCCUCAAGGGUGCGCCGGCCGCCAGGGAGGAGGACUCCUCCUCCUCCAAUUUGGUUUGGGAAGGAGGAGUCCUCCUCUUCCUUCUCACCUCCCUCUUUCCUUUUUCUUUUUCUUUUUUUUGGUAUUUUCUUAUGUGGCGCCAUGGACUCCUUGGGAUAACUCCACCAGCCCACUAAGGACUUGUGGUGCCACCCUAGGGCCUUGGGCUCACUCUCGGGUGGGGUGGUCCCCUCCCGGUGAACACCCGGAACCCAUUCGUCACUCCCGAUACACUGCCGGAAUUGACCGAAACUUUUCGGUGACCAAAUGAAACCAUCCUAUAUAUCAAUCUUCAUUUUCAGAACAUUCCGGAAACCCUCGUGACGUCCGUGAUCUCAUCCGGGACUCCGAACAACAUUCUGUAACCACACAUAUAACUCAAUUAUACUAAAACAUCAUCAAACCUUACGUGUGCAGAUCCUCCGGGUUCAAGAACUAUGUAGACAUGCCCCGAGGCACUCCUAGGUCAAUAUCCAAUAGCGGGACCUGGAUGCCCAUAUUGGACCCUACAUAUUCUCCGAAGAUCUUAUCGGUCGAACCUCAGUGUCAAGGAUUCGUAUAAUCCCGUAUGGCAUUCCCUUUGUCCUUCGGUAUGUUACUUGCCCGAGAUUCGAUCCUCGGUAUCCGCAUACCUAUUUCAAUCUCGUUACCGACAAGUCUCUUUACUCAUUCCAUAAUACAAUAUCACGUGACUUACACUUAGUCACAAUGCUUGCAAGGCUUGUGUGUGAUGUUGUAUUACCGAGUGGGCCCCGAGAUACCUCUCCGUCACACGGAGUGACAAAUCCCAGUCUUGAUCCAUACUAACUCAAUGGACACCUUCGUAGAUACAUGUAGAGCACCUUUAUGGUCACCCAGUUACGUUGCGAUGUUUGAUGCACACAAGGUACUCCUCCGGUGCCAGUGAGUUAUAUGAUCUCAUGGUCAUAGGAACUAAUACUUGACAUGCAGAAAACAAUAGCAAUAAAACGACACGAUCAAUAUGCUACGUUUAUAGUUUGGGUCUAGUCCAUCACAUGAUUCUCCUAAUGAUGUGAUCCAGUUAUCAAGUGACAACACUUGCAUAUAGUGAGAAAACCUUGACUAUCAUUGAUCAACUGGCUAGCCAACUAGAGGCUUGCUAGGGACAUUGUUUUUUCUAUGUAUCGACACAUGUAUCUAUGUUUUCAUUCAAUACAAUUAUAGCAUGGAUAAUAAACGAUUAUCUUUAAACAGGAAAUAUCAUAAUAACUAUUUAUCAUUGCCUCUAGGGCAUAUUUCCAAUAGUCUCCCACUUGCACUAGAGUCAAUAAUCUAGUCUUCACAUCGUCAUGCGAUUUACAUUGUAAUAAAUAUAACACCCAUACAGUUCUGGUGUUGAUCAUGUUUUGCCCGUGGAAGAGGUUUAGUCAGCGGGUCUGCUACACUCAGAUCCGUGUGCACUUUGCAAAUAUUCACGUCCUCUCCUUCGACGUAGUCGCGGAUGAGGUUGAAACGUCGUUUGAUGUGUCUGUUCUUCUUGUGAAACCUUGGUUCCUUUGCUAAGGCAAUGGCACCAGUGUUGUCACAGAACAUAGUUAUUGGAUUUAGUGCACUCGGCACAACUCCAAGAUCCGUCAUGAACUGCUUCAUCCAGACACCCUCCUUUGCUGACUUCGAGGCAGCCAUGUACUCCGCUUCACAUGUAGAAUCUGCUACGAUGCUUUGCUUGGAACUGCACCAGCUUACCGCACCCCCAUUCAGAAUAAAUACGUAUCCGGUUUGCGACUUAGAGUCAUCUGGAUCAGUGUUAAAGCUUGCGUCGAUGUAAUUUUUUACGACGAGCUCUUUGUCACCUCCAUAAACGAGAAACAUUUCCUUAGUCCUUUUCAGGUACUUCAUAAUAUUUUUGACCGCCGUCCAGUGAUCCACUCAUGGAUUACUCUAAAACUUGUGAUACGUCUCCAACGUAUCUAUAAUUUUUGAUGGUUCCAUGCUAUUAUCUUGUCAACUUUGGAUGUUUUAUAUGCAUGAAUAUGCUAUUUCAUAUCUUUUUUGGGACUAACCUAUUAACUCAGUGCCAAGUGCCAGUUUCUGUUUUUUUCCGUGUUUUUGACCCUUUUUCAGACGGAGUCAGAAUGGAAUGAAACUUUACGAUGAUUUUUUUGGACCAAAAGAGACCCCGAAGCUUUGGAAGAAUGCCAGAAGUGCCAUGAGAGAGUCACAAGCCCUAACGGCGCGGCCACCCCCCAGGUCGCACCUUGCAGGCUUGUGACCUCCUCGUUGGCCCAACUGACGCAAUUCCACCGCCAUAAAUUCCUAUAAAUUCAGAAACCCCAGAAAGAAACCUAGAUCGGGAGUUCCGCCGCCGCAAGCCUCUGUUACCACCAAAAACCAAUCUGGAGCCCGUUUCGGCACCCUGCCGGAGGGGGAAUCCAUCUCCGGUUGCCAUCUUCAUCAUCCCGGCGAUCUCCAUGACGAGGAGGGAGUAGUUCUCCCUCGGGGCUGAGGGUAUGUACGAGUAGCUAUGUGCUUGAUCUCUCUCUCUUGUGUUCUUGAGAUGUCUAGAUCUCGAUGUACCGUGGGCUUUGCUAAUAUAGUUGGAUCUUAUGAUGUUCUUCCCCCUCUCCCUAAUGAAUUGAGUUUCCCCUUUGGAGUUAUCUUAUCGGAUUGAGUCUUUGAGAACACUUGAUGUAUGUCUUGCACGUGUCUAUCUGUUGUGAUCAAUUUGCGGGUUCAUGACAUUGGGAACCUAUGCAUAUGGGUUGGCACACGUGGAUUCAUGUGAGUACUUGAUGUAUGUUUUGGUGAUCAACUUGCGGGUUCGUGACAUUGGGAACCUAUGCACAGGGGUUGGCACACGUUUUGACUCUCUGGUAGAAACUUUGGGGCACUCUUUGAAGUUCUAUGUGUUGGUUGAAUAGAUGAUUCUGAGAUUGUGUGAUGCAUAUCGUAUAAUCAUACCCACGGAUACUUGAGGUGACAAUGGAGUAUCUAGGUGAUAUUAGGGUCUUGGUUGAUAAGUAUCUUAAGGUGUUAUUCUAGUACGAACUCUAUGAAAGAUUGAACGGAAAGAAUAGCUUCGUGCUAUUUUACUACAGACUCUUGAAUAGAUCGAUCCGAAAGAAUAACUUUGUGGUGGUUUCGUACCCAACAAUAAUCUCUUCGUUUGUUCUCCGCUAUUAGUGACUUUGGAGUGACUCUUUGUUGCAUGUUGAGGACUAGUUAUAUGAUCCAAUUAUGUUAUCAUUGUUGAGAGAACUUCACUAGUGAAAGUAUGAACCCUAGGCCUUGUUUCCACGCAUUGCAAUACCGUUCGUGCUCACUUUUGUUACUAGUUACCUUGUUGUUUUUGCAAUUUCAGAUUACAAAAACCUAUAUCUACCAUCCAUAUUGCACUUGUUUCACCAUCUCUUCGCCGAACUAGUGCACCUAUACAAUUUACCAUUGUAUUGGGUGUGUUGGGGACACAAGAGACUCUUUGUUAUUUGGUUGCAGGGUUGCUUGAGAGAGACCAUCUUCAUCCUACGCCUCCCUCGGAUUGAUAAAUCUUAGGUCACCCACUUGAGGGAAAAUUGCUACUGUCCUACAAACCUCUGCACUUGGAGGCCCAACAACGUCUACAAGGAGAAGGUUGCGUAGUAGACAUCAAGCUCUUUUUUGGCGCCGUUGCCAGGGAGGUUAGCGCUUGAAGGUAUAUCUUUAGAUCUUGCAAUCGAAUCUUUUUGGUUCUUGUUCUUUCGCUAGAAAACUACAAAAAAAUGGAAUUGAGGAUGCCUCAUAUGCUCCAUCUUUUCAAUGUCUUUCGUGAGCAUGAUGGGAAGGAAAAUUGUGCUCAAGUGCUGAAAGAAGAAUUACAUAGAAUGCUUGGCAUAGAAUAUGUGAAUGAUGAGCAUGAUUGCAAUGUUGUUAGCAUGAAUUCUUUGAAUACCCAUGAUGCUAAUGAUAUGCAAAGCCACAAGCUUGGGGAUGCUAUAUUUGAUGAAGAUGAUCUUUUUAGUUCUUCCACUUUGAAUGAUCAAAAUCAUUUUGAUGAAAGCAUGCCCCCUAUCUAUGAUGAUUAUUGUGAGGAUACUUACGCUAUAAAGAAGAGGGAUGAUAAAACUUGUCAUACUCUCGAGAACCCCUUUGCUAAACCUUGCUUUUUCAUUGUGGACACAAUUUGUAGUGCUCAAGUCUUUUACGAUACUCCCACUACUAUUCUUGAGAAUAGAUUUCCUUAUGUGGAGAGUAGUAAAAUUCCUAUGCUUGUAGAUCAUGAAAAUAAAGCCUUAGGUGCUGGUUAUAUUGUUGAAUUCAUUCAUGAUGCUACUGCAAAUUACUAUGAGAGAGGAUCAUAUGCUUCUACUUAUUGCAAUAGUAUCAAGCUUCCUCUCCAUAUGUUGAAAUUUUUGAAGCUAUGCUUGUUUUGCCUUCCUAUGCUAGUUGAUUCUUGCUCCAAUAAAUUGUUUGAUCACAAAAUCCCUAUGCAUAGGAAUUGGGUUAGACUUAAAUGUGCUAGUCAUUUGCUCCAUGAUGCUCUCGUUGUGUUUCAAUCCUUACCUUCUAUGUGAGCAUCAUUGAAAUCAAUGCCUAGCUAAGGGCGUUAAACGAUAGCGCUUGUUGGGAGGCAACCCAAUGAAUACAUUUUUCUUUGCUUUUUUGCUUCCUGUUAUGUUUUCUCCACACCAUCAUAAUUCAUUUAUGAUUGUGUAUUUUGUGUUUGUUCCAAGCAAAACCGUUAUGAUUAGUCUUGGUGAUGAUUGUUUGAUCAUGCUGGAAAAAGACAGAAACUUUCUGCUCACGAAAAUAAUUUUCAUUUUUAUUCUGUAAGAGCUUUUGAGUUGAUUCUUUUUUCUUCUGAUUUCUAUGUAAUUUUUUCAGACUUUAGUAUGUUUUCACAUUUUUGGAAGUACCAGAAGUUUGCGAAGUAUACAGAUUGCUACAGACUGGUCUGCUGUUAACAGAUUCUGUUUUUGUUGAGUUGGUUGCUUAUUUUGAUGAAAUUAUGGAUAGUAUCGGAGGGUACUAGCCAUGUAAAAGUGAAAAUACAGGAACCCAACACCAACAUAAGUAGAAUUUAAGUUUGCUACAGUACCUAAGGAAGUGGUGAUUUGCUUUCUUAUACUAAUGAUAUCACGAGUUUCUGUUUAAGUUUUGUGUUGUGAAGUUUUCAAGUUCUGGGUGAAGUUCUUAUGGACAAAGAUAUAAAGAGUGGCAAGAGAUCAAGCUUGGGGAUGCCCAAGGCACCCCAAGUUGAUUCAAGGAUGCUGAAAAAGCCUAAGCUUGGGGAUGCCCCGGGAAGGCAUCCCCUCUUUCGUCUUCAAUCCAUCGGUAAUGUUACAUGGAGCUAUAUUUUUAUUCACCACAUGAUAUGUGUUUUGCUUGGAGUGUCUUGUAUCGUAGGAGUCUUUUAUUUUUGUUGUGUCACAAUAAUCCUUGCUGCACACCUUUUUGAGAGAGAGAGACUUGCACUCAUCGUGAUUUUGCUAGAAUGCUCAUUGUGCUUCACUUAUAUCUUUUGAGCUAGAUACUUUUGCUCUUGUGCUUCACUUAUAUCUUUAGAGCUAGUUGAUUUUGCUCUAUGUGCUUCACUUAUAUCUUUUAGAGCACAGCGGUGCGUGGCGUGGUAGUUGGCUUAUGCUAUGAAAGUAGUCCCAAAAGUGGUAGUUAUCCAAAGGGUUACGAAAACUUCCAUCUUCAUGUGCAUUGAAUAGAAAGAGAAGCUUGAUUCCUCUCAAUUAGUUUUGAGAUGUGGUUGUGGUAAUAUUUAAGUUAUGUUAGAAUGGUGUUUUGAAUCUAGAGAUACUUGUGUUGAAGUUAGUGAUUCCCGUAGCAUGCACGUAUGGUGAACCGCUAUGUGAUGAAGUUUGAGCAUGAUUAGUUUAUUGAUUGUCAUCCUUUGUGUAGCGGUCGGGAUCGAGCGAUGGUUUAUACCUACCAACCCUUCCCCUAGGAGUAUGCGUUGAAUGCUUUGUUUCGAUUACUAAUAAAACUUUUGCAACAAGUAUAUGAGUUCUUCUUGACUAAUGUUGAGUACAUGGUUUAGAUGCACUUUCACCUUCCACCAUCACUAUCUUCUUUAGUACCGUGCAACUUUCGCCGGUGCAUAAACCUACCAUAUAGCCUCCCUCAAAACAACCACCAUACCAACCUACUAUGGCAUUUUCAAAGCCAUUCCGAGAUAUAUUGCCAUGCAACUACCACCAUGACAUGUGCCACCACUUCUACAUUGCCAUUGCAUGAUCAUAAGAUAGCUAGCAUGAUGUUUGCAUUGAUGUCUAUGCCAUGCUAGAUCAUUAUCACGGUACACUAUCGAAGGCAUUUCAUAUAGAGUCAUCAUUGCUCUAAGUUUUGAGUUGUAAGUAUUAUGAUCAUCAUUGAUGGAGCAUUGUCCCAUGUGAAAAAAGAGAGGCCAAAUAUGCCCACAAAAAUAAAUAAAUAAAUAAAUAAAUAAAAGAGGCCAAAGAGCCCACCAAAAAAAUGAGAGAAAAAGAGAGAAGGGACAAUGCUACUAUCUCCUUUCCACAGUUGUGCUUCAUAUUAAGCAGUAUGAUCUUCAUGAUUGAGAGUCUCUCGUUUUUUCACCACCAUAUAGCUAGUGGGAAAUUUUCAUUAGAUAACUUGGCUUGUAUAUUCCUAUGAUGGGCUUCCUCAAAAUUGCCCUAGGUCUUCGUGAGCAAGCAAGUUGGAUGCACACCCACUAGUUUUCCUUAAGAGCUUUCACAUACUCAUAGCUCUAGUGCAUCUCUUGCAUGGCAAUCCCUACUCAUUCACAUUGAUAUCUAUUGAUAAGCAUCUCCAUAGCUUAUUGAUAUGCCUAGUCAAUGUGACCAUAUUCUCCUUUUUUGUCUCACAACCUCCACCACUCCAUUCCACCUAUAGUGCUAUAACCAUGGCUCACGCUCAUGUAUUGCGUGAGAGUUGAAAAAGUUUGAGAAAGUAAAGGUGUGAAAACAAUUACUUGGCCAAUACCGAGGUUGUGCAUGAUUUAAAUUCGUUGUGCAAGGAUGAUAGAGCAUAGCCAGACUAUAUGAUUUUGUAGGCAUAACUUUCUUUUGGCCUUGUUAUUUUGAAAGUUCAUGAUUACCUUGCUAGUUUGCUUGAAGUAUUAUUGUCUCCACAUCAAUAGCAAACUAUUGUUUUAAAUCUAACGGAUCUGAAUAUUCAUGUCAUGUGUGAGAAGUUACAAAGGACAACUAUGUUAGGUAGCAUGCAACAUCAAAAAUUCAUUCUUUAUCACUUCCCUACUCGAGGACGAGCAGGAGUUAAGCUUGGGGAUGCUUGAUACGUCUCCAACGUAUCUAUAAUUUUUGAUGGUUCCAUGCUAUUAUCGUGUAAACUUUGGAUGUUUUAUACGCAUGAAUAUGCUAUUUUAUAUCUUUUUUGGGACUAACCUACUAACUCAGUGCCAAGUGUCAGUUUUUGUUUUUUCCAUGUUUUUGACCCUUUUUCAGACGGAGUCCAAAUGGAAUGAAACUUUACGAUUAUUUUUUGGACCAAAAGAGACCCCCGAAGUUUUGGAAGAAGGCCAGAAGAGACACGAGGGAGUCAAAAGCCUUGACGGCGCCGCCACCCCCCAGGCCGCACCAUGAAGGCUUGUGACCUCCUCGUUGGCCCAACUGACGCAAUUCCACCGCCAUAAAUUCCUAUAAAUUCAGAAACCCCCAGAAAGAAACCUAGAUCGGGAGUUCCGCCGCCGCAAGCCUCUGUAGCCAACAAAAACCAAUCUGGAGCCCGUUCCGGCACCCUGCCGAGGGGGAAUCCAUCUCCGGUGGCCAUCUUCAUCAUCCCGACGAUCUCCAUGACGAGGAGGGAGUAGUUCUCCCUCGGGGCUGAGGGUAUGUACGAGUAGCUAUGUGCUUGAUCUCUCUCUCUUGUGUUCUUGAGAUGUCUAGAUCUCGAUGUACCGUGGGCUUUGCUAAUAUAGUUGGAUCUUAUGAUGUUCUUCCCCCUCUCCCUUCUUGUAAUGAAUUGAGUUUCCCCUUUGGAGUUAUCUUAUCGGAUUGAGUCUUUGAGAACACUUGAUGUAUGUCUUGCACGUGUCUAUCUGUUGUGAUCAACUUGCGGGUUCAUGACAUUGGGAACCUAUGCAUAUGGGUUGGCACACGUGGAUUCAUGUGAGUACUUGAUGUAUGUUUUGGUGAUCAACUUGCGGGUUCGUGACAUUGGGAACCUAUGCACAGGGGUUGGCACAUGUUUUGACUCUCUGGUAGAAACUUUGGGGCACUCUUUGAAGUUCUAUGUGUUGGUUGAAUAGAUGAUUCUGAGAUUGUGUGAUGCAUAUCGUAUAAUCAUACCCACGGAUACUUGAGGUGACAAUGGAGUAUCUAGGUGAUAUUAGGGUCUUGGUUGAUAAGUAUCUUAAGGUGUUAUUCUAGUACGAACUCUAUGAAAGAUUGAACGGAAAGAAUAGCUUCGUGCUAUUUUACUACGGACUCUUGAAUAGAUCGAUCCGAAAGAAUAACUUUGUGGUGGUUUCGUACCCAACAAUAAUCUCUUCGUUUGUUCUCCGCUAUUAGUGACUUUGGAGUGACUCUUUGUUGCAUGUUGAGGACUAGUUAUAUGAUCCAAUUAUGUUAUCAUUGUUGAGAGAACUUCACUAGUGAAAGUAUGAACCCUAGGCCUUGUUUCCAUGCAUUGCAAUACCGUUCGUGCUCACUUUUUGUUACUAGUUACCUUGCUGUUUUUGUAAUUUCAGAUUACAAAAACCUAUAUCUACCAUCCAUAUUGCACUUGUUUCACCAUCUCUUCGCCGAACUAGUGCACCUAUACAAUUUACCAUUGUAUUGGGUGUGUUGGGGACACAAUGACUCUUUGUUAUUUGUUUGCAGGGUUGCUUGAGAGAGACCAUCUUCAUCCUACGCCUCCCACGGAUUGAUAAACCUUAGGUCACCCACUUGAGGGAAAAUUGCUACUGUCCUACAAACCUCUGCACUUGGAGGCCCAACAACGUCUACAAGGAGAAGGUUGCAUAGUAGACAUCAACCUGCCUGCCAUACAUAUGGCCAAGCUGGCGUUUGGUCUAGUGCACAACAUUGCAUACAUGAUAGAACCUAUGGCUGAAGAAUAGGGGGACGGAACUCAUUUUUUCUCUAUCUUCCGCAGUUGCUGGGCACUGAGUCUUACUCAAUUUUAUACCUUGUAACACUGGCAAGAACCCUUUCUUGGACUGAUCCAUUUUGAACUUCUUCAAAACUUUAUCAAGGUAUGUGCUUUGUGAAAGUCCUAUGAGGCGUCUCGAUCUAUCCCUAUAGUUCUUAAUGCCUAGAAUGUAAGCAGCUUCUCAUAGGUCCUUCAUAGAGAAACUUUUAUUCAAGUAAUCCUUUAUGCUCUCCAAAAACUCCACGUUGUUUCCAAUCAACAAUAUGUCAUCCACAUAUAAUAUUAGAAACGCCACAGAGCUCCCACUCACUUUCUUUUAAAUACAAGAUACUCCAACUACUUGUAUAAACCCAAAUGCUUUGACCACCUCAUCAAAGCGUUUAUUCCAACUCCGAGAUGCUUGCACCAGUCCAUAAAUGGAUCGCUGGAGCUUGCACACUUUGUUAGCAUUCUUUGGAUCGACAAAACCUUCGGGUUGCAUCAUAUACAACUCUUCCUUAAGAAAACCAUCAAGGAAUGCCAUUUUGACAUCCAUCUGCCAGAUUUCACAAUCGAAAAAUGCAGCUAUUGCUAACAAGAUUCAGAUGGACUUAAGCAUCACUACCAGUGAGAACGUCUCAUCGUAGUCAACUCCUUGAACUUGUGAAAAACCCUUUGCCACAAGUCGAGCUUUAUAAACGGUCACAUUACCGUGUGCGUCUGUCUUCUUCUUAAAGAUCCAGUUGUUCUGAAUAGCCUUGCGGCCUUCAGGUAGUACUUCCAAAGUCCACACUUUGUUUUUGUACAUAGAUCCUAUCUCGGACUACAUGGCCUCCAGCCAUUUGUUGGAAUCCGGGCCCACCGUUGCUUCUUCAUAAUUCGCAGGUUCAUUGUUGUCUAACAACAUAAUUGAUAAGACAGGAUUACCGUACCACUCAGGAGCAGUACGUGAUCUUGUCGACCUGCGAGGUCCGAUAGGAACUUGAUCUGAAGUUUCAUGAUCAUCACCAUCAACUUCCUCCUCAACUGACAUUGCAAUGACAAUGGUUCCCCUUGCCUUGCGCCACCAUCCAGAGGGAUUAGAGGUUCGACAACCUCAUCAAGUUCUAUCUUCCUCCCACUCAAUUUUUUUGAGAGAAACUCAUUCUCAAGAAAAGCUCCGUUUUUACAACAAACACUUUCCCCUAGGAUUUGAGAUAGAAUGUAUACCCAACUGUCUCUUUUGGGUAACCUAUGAAGACGCACUUUUCUGCUUUGGGUUCCAGCUUUUGAGGUUAAAGCUUUUUGACAUAAGCAUCACAUCCCCAAACUUUAAGAAACGACAACUUUGGUCUUUUGCCAUACCAUAGUUCGUAUGGUGUCAUGUGAAUGGAUUUUUAUGGUGCCCUAUUUAAAGUGAAUGCAGCUGUCUCUAAUGCAUAACCCAAAACGAUAACGGCAAAUCGGUAAGAGACAUCAUAGAUCGCACAAUUUCUAACAAAGUACGAUUACGACGUUCGGACACACCAUUACGCUAUGGUGUUCUCGGUUGUGUGAACUGUGAAACAAUUCCACAUUGUCUCAAGUGAGCACCAAACUCGAAACUCAGAUAUUCACCCCCAUGAUCAGACCGUAGGAACUUGAUCUUCUUGUUACGAUGAUUUUGAACUUCACUCUGAAAUUGCUUGAACUUCUCAAACAUUUCAGACUUGUGCUUCAUCAAGUAUACAUAACCAUAUCUACUCAAAUCGUCAGUGAAGGUGAGAAAAUAACGAUAUCUGCCCCGCGCCUCCACACUCAUCGGACUGCAGACAUCGGUAUGUAUGAUUUCCAACAAGUCACUUGCACGCUCCAUUGUUCCGGAGAACGGAGUCUUAGUCAUCUUGCCCAUGAGGCAUGGUUCGCACGUGUCAAGUGAAUCAAAGUCAAGUGACUCCAAAAGUCCAUCGAAAUGGAGUUUCUUCAUGCACUUUACACCAAUAUGACCUAAGCGGCAGUGCCACAAAAACAUUGCGCUAUCAUUGUUAGCUCUAACUCUUUUGGUCUCAAUGUUAUGUAUAUGUGUAUCAUCGCUAUCAAGAUUCAGUAUGAACAAUCCUCUCACAUUGGGUGCAUGACCAUAAAAGAUAUUACUCAUAGAAAUAGAACAACCAUUAUUAUCUGACUUAAAUGAGUAACCGUCUCACAAUAAACAAGAUCCAGAUAUAAUGUUCAUGCUUAACGCAGGCACUAAAUAACAAUUAUUUAAGUUCAUAACUAGUCCUGAUGGUAACUGAAGUGAAACUGUGCCGACGGUGAUUGCAUCAACUUUGGAACCAUUUCCCACGCGCAUCGUCACUUCAUCUUUCGCCAGCCUUCGUUUAUUACGUAGUUCCUGCUUCGAGUUGCAAAUAUGAGCAACAGAACCGGUAUCGAAUACCCAGGCACUACUACGAGAGUUGGUUAAGUACACAUCAAUAACAUGUAUAUCGAAUACACGUGAUUUUCCCUUGGUCGCCUUCUUAUCAGCCAAAUACUUGGGGCAGUUGCGCUUCCAGUGACCCAGUCCCUUGCAAUAAUAACACUCUAUUUCAGGCUUAGGUCCAACCUUGGGUUUCUUUGUCGGAUUGGCAACAGGCUUGCCGCUCUUCUUGGAGUUACCCUUCUUGCCUUUUCCAUUUCUCCUGAAACUAGUGGUCUUAUUGACCAUCAACACUUGAUGCUCUUCCCGGAGUUCUGACUCUGCGACUUUCAGCAUCGCGAAUAACUCGCCGGGUGACUUAUUCAUCCCUUGCAUGUUAUAGUUCAACACAAAGCUCUUAUAGCUUGGUGGCAGUGAUUGAAGAAUUCUGUGAGUGAUAUCUUCUUGCGGGAGUUCAAUCCCCAGCUUAGCUAGACGGUUUGAGUACCUAGACAUUUUGAGCACAUGUUCACUGGCAAACGAAUUCUCCUCCAUCUUGCAAGCAUAGAAUUUAUCGGAGGUCUCAUACCUCUCGAUCCGGGCGUUCUUCUGAAAGAUAAACUUCAACUCCUGGAACAUCUCAUAUGCUCCAUGGCGCUCAAAGCAACGUUGAAGUCCCGGCUCUAAGCCAUACAAGACUGCACAUUGAACUACUGAGUAGUCCUCCUUACGUGUUAACCAAGCGUUCUUAACAUCUUGGUCAGCCAUAGCGGGUGGUUCAUCUCCUAGCGCAGCAUUAAGGACAUAAUCCUUCUUCCUAGCUUGCAGGAGCAACUUAAGAUCACGAGCCCAGUCUACAAAGUUGCUUCCAUCAUCUUUCAACCUAGCUUUCUCUAGGAACGUAUUAAAAUUCAGGGUGACUAUCGCGUGAGCCAUUGAUCUACAACACAAAUAUUUCAAAGUGGACUUAGACUAUUUUCAAGAUAAUUAGAGUUUAACUAAUCAAAUUACUUGCUAAACUCCCACUCAAAAAGUACAUCUCUCUAGUCAUUUGAGUGGUACAUGAUCCAAAGUCACUAACUCAAGUCCGAUCAUCACGUGAGUUGAGAAUAGUUUAAGUGGUAAGCAUCGCUAUGCUAAUCAUAUCAACUAUACGAUUCAUGCUCGACCUUUCGGUCUCAUGUGUUCUGAGUCCAUGUGUACACAUGCUAGGCUCGUCAAGUUUAACCUGAGUGUUCCACGCGUGCAACUGUUUUGCACCCGUUGUAUGUGAACGUUGAGUCUAUCACACCCGAUCAUCACGUGGUGUCUCAAAAUGACAAACUGUUGCAACAGUGCAUAGUCAGGGAGAACACAAUUUCGUUUUGCAAUUUUAGUGAGAGAUCACCUUAUAAUGCUACGGUCGUUCUAAGCAAAAUAAGGUGCAUAAAAGGAUUAACAUCACAUGCAAUUCAUAAGUGACAUGAUAUGGCCAUCAUCUUGUGCUUCUUGAUCUCCAUCACUCAAGCACCGACACGAUCUUCUUGUCACCGGCGCCACACCAUGAUCUCCAUCAUCAUGAUAUCCAUCAAUGUGUCACCAUCGAGGUUGUCGUGCUAUCUAUGGUAUUACUACUAAAGCUACGACCUAGCAAUAUAGUAAACGCAUCUGCAAACACAAACGUUAGUUUAAAGACAACCCUAUGGCUCCUGCCGGUUGCCGUAGCAUCGACGUGAAAGUCGAUAUUAACUAUUACAACAUGGUCAUCUUAUACAUCCAAUAUAUCACAUCACGUCAUUCGCCAUAUCAUAUCACAAGCAUACCCUGCAAAAACAAGUUAGACCUCCUCUAAUUUGUUGUUGCAUGUUUUACGUGGCUACUAUGGGUAUCUAGUAUGAUCGCAUCUUACUUAUGCAAAAACCACAACGGAGAUGUGCAAAUUGCUAUUUAACCUCUCCAAGGACCGCCUCGGUCAAAACCAAUUCAACUAAAGUCGAAGAAACCGACACCCGCCAGUCAUCUUUAUGCAACGAGGUUGCAUGUCAACCGAUGAAACCAGUCUCUCGUAAGCGUACGAGUUAUGUUGGUUCGGGCCGCUUCAAUCCAACAAUACCGCUGAAUCGAGAAAAGACUAAGGAGGGAAGAAAAUCGAACAUCACCAUCCACAAAACCUUUUGUGUUCUACUCGAGAUAACAUCGACGCAUGAACCUAGCUCAUGAUGCCACUGUUGGGGAACGUUGCAUGGGAAACAAAAAAUUUCCUACGCACAUGAAGACCUAUCAUGGUGAUGCCCAUCUACGAGUGGAGAUUGGAUCUAUGUACCCUUGUAGAUCGCACAGCAGGAAGCGUUAAGAAACGCGGUUGAUGUAGUGGAACGUCUUCACGUCCCUCGAACCGUCCCACGAACCGUCCCACGAUCCGUUCCGAUCUAGCGCCGAAUGGACGGCACCUCCGCGUUCAGCACACGUGCAGCUCGACGAUGAUCUCGGCCUUCUUGAUCCAGCAAGCAAGACAGAUAAGUAGAUGAGUUCUCUGGAAACGUGACGACGCUUCAGUGGUGGUGAUGAUCUACUCCUGCAGGGCUCCGCCCGAGCUUCGCAGAAAUCUGAUCUAGAUGUGAAACUGUGUGGUAUAGGCUAGAGUUGCACGUGGCAAAGUUGUGUCUCAAAAAGCCCUAAACCACCACUAUAUAUAGGAGGGAGGGGGAGGGGCUAGCCUUGAGGCACAAGGCCUCAAGGGUGCGCUGGCCACCAAGGAGGAGGAGGAGGACUCCUCCAAUUCGGUUUGGGAAGGAGGAGUCCUCCUCUCCCUUCCCACCUCCCUCUUUCCUUUUUCUUUUUCUUUUCUUUUUGGUAUUUUCUUAUGUGGCACCAUGGACUCCUUGGGCUAACUCCACCAGCCAACUAAGUACUUGUGGCGCCACUCUAGGGUCUUGGGCUCAAUGCCGGGUGGGUGGGCCCCUUCUGGUGAAUACCCGGAACCCAUUCGUCACUCCCGGUACACUGUCGGAAUUGCCCGAAACUUUCCGGUGACCAAAUGAAACCAUCCUAUACAUCAAUCUUCGUUUCUGUACCUUUAUGGAAACCAUAGUGACGUCCGUGAUCUCAUCCGGGACUCCGAACAAUAUUCGGUAACCAGACAUAUAACUCAACUAUACUAAAACUUCAUCGAACCUUAAGUGUGCAGAUCCUGCGGGUUCGAGAACUAUGUAGACAUGCCCCGAGGCACUCCUCGGUCAAUAUCCAAUAGCGGGACCUGGAUGCUGAUGACCAACAAGUAUAGGGGAUCAAUCGUAGUCCUUUCGAUAAGUAAGAGUGUCGAACCCAACGAGGAGCCGAAGGCUCUGAUAAACGGAUUUCAGCAAGGUUAUAACUGCAAGCACUGAAAAUAGCGGUAACAAGUGAUAGUGUAGCGAGGUGAAACGUAGCGAGCAAAAAGUAACAAGUAACAAGUAGUAGCAAUGGUGAAGCAAGUGGCCCAAUCCCUUUUGCAGCAAGGGACAAGCCUGAACAAAGUAUUAUAGGAGGAAAAAUGCUCCCGAGGACACACGGGAAUUUCUGUCAUGCUAGUUUCAUCAUGUUCAUAUGAUUCGCGUUCGUUACUUUGAUAGUUUGAUAUGUGGGUGGACCGGCGCUUGGGUACUUCCCUUACUUGGACAAGCAUCCCACUUAUGAUUAACCUCUCUCGCAAGCAUCCGCAACUACAAAAGAAUAAUUAAGACAAAGUCUAACCAUAGCAUUAAACUAGUGGAUCCAAAUCAGCCCCUCACGAAGCAACGCAUAGACUGGGGUUUAAGCUUCUGUCACUCCAGCAACCCAUCAUCUACUUACUACUUCCCAAUGCCUUCCUCUAGGCCCAAAUAUGGUGAAGUGUUAUGUAGUCGACGUUCACAUAACAGCACUAGAGGAAAAGACAACAUACAUCAUAUCAAAAUACCGAACAAAUAUCAAAUUCACAUGACUAUUAUCAGCAUGACUUAUCCCAUGUCCUCAGGAACAAAAGUAACUACUCACAAGACAUAAUCAUAAUCAUGACCUGAGGUGUAAUGAAUAGCAUCAAGGAUCUGAACAUAAACUGUUCCACCAAAUAAUCCAACUAGCAUCAACUACAAAGAGUAAUCAACACUACUAGCAACCAUACAAGUACCAAUCGGAGUUGCGAGACGGAGAUUGGUUACAAGAGAUGAACUAGGGAUUGGAGAGGAGAUGGUGCUGAUGAAGAUGUUGAUGAAGAUGCCUCCCCUCCGACAAGAGGUGUGUUGGUGAUGACGAUGGCGAUGAUUUCCCCCUCCGGGAGGGAAGUUUCCCCGGCAGGAUCGUCCUGCCGGAGCUCUAGAUUGGAUCUGCUCAAGUUCCGCCUCAAGGCGGCGGCGAAACCACGAGAAAGCUCCAUCCUGAUUUUUUCCAGACUAGGACGCUUCAUAUAGCAAAAGAGGGGGGCUAGUGGGCCUUCAGGCGGCCCACAAGCUUGCCCACCGCCACCAGGGUGGUGGUGGCGGAGUGGGGGCUUGUGGGGCCCUGGUGGCCCCCCUCCGGUAGUUCUUUCGCCCAGUAUUUUUAAUAUUUUCCAGAAAAAAUCCAUGUAAAUUUUCAGGGCAUUUGGAGAUGUGCAGAAUAGUAGACUAGGAUUUGCUCCUCUUCUAGUCCAGAAUUCCAGCUGCCUGAAUUCCCCCUCUUCAAAUAAUCCUUGCAAAAUAAGAGAGAAAAGGCAUAAAUAUGGUACCACAAGUAAUAUAACAGCCCAAAAAGCAAUAAAUAUCAACAUGAAAGCAUGAUGCAAAAUGAACGUAUCAACUCCCCCAAGCUUAGACCUCGCCUGUCCUCAAGCGAAAACAAAGUUCCAUAAACAUGUCCACAUGUUGAGGGACGAAGGUGUCGAUAAAAGAUAAUACGAACCUGAGGGCAUCAUGAUCACACAUAGAAUAGCAAUACAUCAUAAAGAUUCUUAUGGGAAAGUAACAAUUCCUUCACAAAGCAAAGCAUGAAGCAAAAACCUUACCAAGAAGUAACCAACAAUAGUCAUAGUCAUUGAAGCAAUUGCAAUUUAUCACAACAUCGGAAAGAGUCAAAUAAGAGCUUGUAAGGCAAACCCACAUACUCAAUCAUCUCUUUUGUUUUCCACAAUUGUUACAACUCACGUGGUACUCAUGGUGUCAAAGUUUCAGCUGGACACUGAGGAAGAUAGGGGCUUAUAGUUUUGCCUCCCAACGCUUUACCUCAAGGGUAAAGUCAACAACAAUAAAGCAUGAAUACUCAACUCCAAGUUGAUAUAUGAAUAUAGAUCUUUCCCAAGCAAUGUGACGGUAGCCAAGACAAAGGCAAAAAAGGGAAUUGGUGAUGAUCACCAUGACUCUUUCAAGGGUAAAAAGUAAAGGUACAAGAUAGGCCCUUUGCAGAGGGAAGCAGAGGUUGUCAUGCGCUUUUGAGGUUUGAAUGCAUGUCCUCUUAGUGCGGAGGAACAUCACUUUAUAUUGUCUCCUGUGACAAAGAACUUUAUUAUGCAGCCUGUCGCUUUUAUGUCUUCCUCAUCACAGGUUCGUACAAAGCUUAUUUUCCACACACUAAUAGAUCAUACAUAUUAGAGAGCAAUUUUUAUUGCUUGCACCUAUGACAACUUACUUGAAGGAUCUUAUUCAAUCCAUAGGUAGGUAUAGUGGACUCUCAUGGCAAAACUGGUUGGAGGUUUAUGGAUGAACAAGUAGUAUCUCUACUUGGUGCGGGAGUUUUGGCUAAUAUGAUGCGGAAGCAAUCGUCACAUGCUAAGGGAUCUCUAAUCAUAUAACAUUGUUUGGAAGCAAGCAAACACAAUUCAUUAUGUUGUCUUCCUUGUCCAACAUCUACUCCUAGGCAUGUAAUAGUUUGGUGAGUGCUCACAAUUGUAAAAAGUGUCUAAGAUGAUAUAUUUAUAUGUGAACCUCUCGUUCCUUAGUACUUCUUAUUAAUUGCAAGAAUGACUGAGGUCUAUAUUGAUUUAUUCUCAACAAGUUUCAAUCAUCAUACUUGUCAUAAGUGAAGUUAUCACUUUCCAUAAGAUCGUCUCAUGAUCUUUCAUGCUAUCGAUCUUUUCAUACUUUUGAUCAUGGCACAAAGCAAAGCCCUUGACUAAUACAUUCUUUAUUAUACAACUCGUAAGCUCGAAUACAAUGGGGGAAAGACAAAAGCAAAAGACUCAAACUAAAAACUAAAGACUUAUUCCUCUAAAAGAAGAAAUAAAAACUUAAAAGGAAAGAACUAAAACAAAGGUAAAAGCAAAAGAUAUAAAGGUGAUACGAUACCAGGGCAACUCCCCCAAGCUUGGCAGAAGCCAAGGGGAUUGCCCAUACCAAUGCUUAGUUGUCUUCCUUUGGUGGUGAUGGUGAUGUUGUUGUCGCCUUUGAUUCCAAGAGAGCUAUCAAUCUUUGAUUUAUACCUUUGAGAUAUGUGACAUGGUUUUCCAGCAAAACAACUUUAUGAGAAAGAGAAAUAUUGCGAGAACGAGUUGUUUCACAAAACCUCAAGAGUUCAAUCAAGGAUGGAGACAACACGUGGAGGAAGGGUUGGAGAAAAUCUACUCCUUCAAUGUCUUGAAUGUUGAACAUAGGUUGAACUUCCUCCCUAACUCGGGUUUUCUCCUUAGCUUGGUCCCUGGCUUCCGUGACUUCUACUCUUUUCAGAUCAGCAUCUACUUCCUCAUUAACUUGGUGAAGAUCAUUCUCCCCAACAGAUUCCUGAGACAUCUUUGCUCUAAAUCUGCGGCAGACAACAAGCUCGAAACAAAAACAGAGGAAAACUACGCGAUACGGAGAUCAAAACCUUCGGGCAACUAUAUAUUGAUUUUUUCUGGGUCAGAAGGAGUCCUCCGCAAGAAAACGGAGUCCAGGAGGCACACGAGGUGCCCUCAAGCUUGCCCACUGCCACCAGGGGGGUGGUGCGGUGUGGGCCCUUGUGGCUGCCUCGUUUGCUCUCCCAACUGCUUUUUAUUUUUCUAAUUUUCCAAAAAUUCCAAAACUGAGGAAAUUUCCUAUUGGAAAAGUAUCGGAGUCUAAUUUCUUGCCGAAACAGAUACAUCUUCGUUUUCAAGGUCUGAAACAGGGUGAUAAACAUCCCUUACAUACUCCUCUGGAGUUAUGACAUUGAUGAUAUUGGUCUCAACAUUUAUGGGAGUACCAGAGAUGUAAUGCUUGAUUCUUUGCCCAUUUACCACUCUAGGAAAAUUUCCUUCCGUGUUAUUGAUUUUUAUGGCACCGGAACGAUAUACUUCCUCGACAACAUAGGGACCUUCCCAUUUAGAGAGAAGCUUGCCUCCAAAGAAUCUCAAACGAGAAUUGUAUAGCAAGACAUAAUCACCUACAUUGAACUCUCGUUUCUGUAUUCGUUUGUCGUGCCAUCUCUUAACGUUUUCCUUGAACAACCUGGCAUUCUCAUAUGCCUGGGCUCUCCAUUCAUCUAACGAGUUGAUAUCAAACAACCCCUUCUCACCGGCAAGUUUGAAAUCAAAGUUGAGCUCUUUGAUUGCCCAAUAAGCUUUGUGUUCUAGCUCAAGAGGUAAAUGACAGGCCUUACCGUAAACCAUUUUAUACGGUGACAUGCCCAUGGGAUUCUUAUAAGCAGUCCUAUAAGCCCAUAGUGCAUCAUCAAGUUUGCUUGACCAGUUAUUUCGAGAUCUAUUGGCGGUCUUUUGUAGGAUCAAAUUGAUCUCCCUAUUACUCAACUCCACUUGACCACUAGACUGAGGAUGAUAAGGAGAUGCAACUCUAUGGUUGACAUCAUACUUAGCUAGCAUCUUGCGGAAAACACCAUGAAUGAAGUGUGAACCGCCAUCAGUCAUCAAGUAUCUAGGGACUCCAAAUCUAGGGAAUAUGACUUAUUUAAGCAUCUUAAUAGAGGUGUGGUGAUCAGCACUUUUAGUGGGGAUAGCUUCUACCCACUUAGUAACGUAAUCCACAGCAACUAAGAUGUGAGUGUACCCAUUGGAACUCGGGAAGGGUCCCAUAUAAUCAAAGCCCCAGAUAUCAAAUGGUUCAAUGGCAAGUGAAUAGUUCAUAUGCAUCUCUUGACGCUUACUGAUGUUCCCUAUCCUUUGGCAUUCUUCACAAGACAAGACAAACUUACAGGCAUCCUUGAAGAGAGUGGGCCAAUAGAAACCUGAUUGCAAUACCUUAUGGGCAGUUCUAUCUCUAGCAUGGUGUCCUCCGUAAGCUUCGGAAUGACACUUCUGCAGGAUCUGUCCCUGUUCAUGUUCAGGCACACAACGUCUAAUAACACUAUCUACUCCUUCCUUAUAAAGGUGAGGAUCAUCCCAAAAGUAGUGUCUCAAAUCAAAGAAGAAUUUCUUCUUUUGUUGAUAGGUGAAACUGGGUGGUAUGUAUUUGGCUACGAUGUAGUUUGCAUAAUCGGCAUACCACGGUGCACUAAGUGAAGUGCGGAUGACAUUUAAUUGCUCAUCAGGAAAGCUGUCAUCAAUUGGUAGUGGGUCAUCAAGGACAUUCUCUAGCCUAGACAAGUUAUCUGCUACAGGGUUAUCAGCACCCUUUCGGUCAACGAUGUGCAAAUCAAAUUCCUGUAGCAGGAGAACCCAUCUGAUCAGCCUAGGCUUAGCGUCCUUCUUCUGCAUAAGGUACUUAAUAGCAGCAUGAUCAGAGUGAAUAGUGACUUUGGAGUCAACUAUGUAAGAUCUGAUCUUUUCACAUGCAAACACGACUGCUAAAAAUUCCUUCUCCGUAGUGGCAUAGUUUCUUUGGGCACUGUCUAGAGUUUUACUAGCGUAGUGAAUGACAUUCAAUUUCUUGUCAACUCUUUGUCCUAGAACAGCAUCAACAACAUAAUCACUAGUGUCGCACAUGAUUUCAAAGGGCAAGUUCCAGUCAGGUGGUUGAACAAUAGGUGCGGUUAUCAAAGCCUUCUUAAGUAUUUCAAAGGCUUCCUCACAAUCCUCAUCAAAAACAAAAGGAACAUCCUUCUGCAAGAGGUUGGUAAGAGGCCUAGAAAUCUUAAAGAAGUCUUUAAUGAACCUUCUAUAGAAACCAACAUGACCUAGGAAACUUCGUAUACCUCUAAUAUCUGUGGGGCAAGGCAUUUUCUCAAUUGCAUCGACCUUAGCCUUAUCAACUUCAAUGCCUCUCUCAGAAAUUUUGUGUCCUAAGACGAUACCUUCAUUAACCAUAAAGUGGCACUUCUCCCAAUUCAAGACGAGGUUGGUUUCUUCACAUCUCUGUAAGACUCGAUCAAGGUUGCUGAGACAAUCAUCAAAGGAAGACCCGUAAACGGAGAAGUCAUCCAUGAAAACCUCAACAAUCUUUUCACAAAAGUCAGAGAAUAUAGCCAUCAUACAUCUUUGGAAGGUGGCAGGUGCAUUACAUAAGCCAAAAGGCAUACAUCUAUAGGCGAAGGUACCGAAAGGGCAGGUGAAAGUGGUUUUCUCUUGAUCGGAUUGUGCAACAGGUAUUUGCGAGAAACCUGAAUAACCGUCUAGAAAAGCAGAAGUGUGUGUGCUUUGAUAGCCUUUCUAGCAUUUGGUCGAUGAAUGGCAAAGGAUAAUGAUCUUUGCCUUGUUCAGUUUUCGGAAGUCUAUCACCAUUCUAUAGCCGGUAAUAAUCCUUUGUGGUAUUAGUUCAUCCUUAUCAUUAGGAACGACGGUGAUACCUCCCUUCUUAGGUACACAAUGUACUGGACUUACCCAAUCACUAUGAGCAACAGGAUAAAUGAUUCCUGCUUCCAGAAGCUUUAAUAUUUCUUUUCUAAUGACCUCUUUCAUCUUAGGAUUUAAUCUCCUUUGAUGAUCAGCAACUGGUUUAAAGUCAGGAUUGGCUUUAAUCUUGUGCUGACAUAGAGUAGGACUAAUACCCUUAAGAUCAUCAAGAGUAUAUCCAAUAGCAGCGCGGUGCUUCCUCAGGGUUUUUAGUAACUUCUUCUCUUCGCGCUCUGAGAGGAGAGCACUAAUAAUGACAGGAUAUAUCUCCGUCUCAUCAAGAUAGGCAUACUUAAGAGUAUCAGGCAACUGUUUAAGCUCGAACAUAUGAUCACCCUUUGGUGGGGAGGAUCCCCAAGCAGUUCAACAGGCAGAUUAUUUUUGAGAAUAGGAUGUUGUUCUAAGACAAUUCUAUCUAUCUCAUCUCUCUCCUCCAUAUGCAUAUCAUUUUCAGGCUCAAGCAGAUAUUACUCCAAAGGAUCCGUAGGAGGUACGACAAUAGAGGCAAGAGCAAUGAUUUCAUCUCUACCAGACGACUCUCUUUCAUGGGGUUGUCUUCCAAACUUGGAGAAGUUAAAUUCAUGAGACACACCCUUGAAACUUACUGUGACAGUCUGCUUAAUGCAAUGAAUGUGAGCAUUGACAGUGUUGAGAAAGGGUCUAACGAAUAUGAUGGGACAAAAGCUAUCUUGUGCAGUACCAAGGACGAGGAAAUCAGUAGGAUACUUCGUCUUACCACACAGGACUUCUACGUCUCUCACAAUUCCCAGAGGGCAGAUAAUGUCUCUAUCAGCUAGCGUAACAGUGACAACAAUGGGUUCUAACUCAGCAGGUGCAAUCUCAUCUUUGAUUUCAUCAUAUAGAGAACGGGGUAUUGCACUAACACUAGCUCCCAUAUCACAUAAACCAUGGUAACAGUGAUCUCCUAUCUUAGCAGAAACAACGGGCAGGCCAACUACAGGUCCGUGCUUGUCUUUCGCGUGAGGUUUAGCAAUUCUAGCGGAGUCCUCACAGAAUUUGAUAACAUGCCCGUCUAUGUCUUCAGCUAAGAGAUCUUUGAUAAUAGCAACACUAGGUUGAACUCUAAUCUCCUCAGGGGGUGCAAGUGGUCUAAUGUAACCCCUAUGUAUCACAGUUGGAGCUUUAGAAUAAUCCUUCAUCCUAGCAGGGUAUGGUGGUUUCUCAGUGUAAGCACAAGGAACAACAGGAUCACUAAAACCUAUGAUUUUCUCCUCAACUAGAUUGGUUUUGGCUAUGUUGCUUUCUACAGGAGGAUGAUAUUUAAACCACUUCUCUUUCGGAAGAUCAACAUGAGCAGCAAAAGAUUCACAUAGAGAAGCUACUAUCUCAGAGUCAAGUCCAUACUUAGCGCUAAAAUCUCUAGAAGUGUUUCCCUCACCAAAAUAUUUAAUGCAAUCAAACUGGAAAUUCAUACCUGACUCCUUACCUUCCUCCAGCUCCCAAUCUUCAGAGUUGCGUUUGAUUCUCUCCAAUAAAUUCCACUUGUGAUCAAUAUCCUUCUUCAUAAAAGAACAGGCACAAGAAGGGUCAAGUAUGGUACGAUCUUCAUGAGAAAGCCGAGCAUAAAAAUUUUGAGUGAUGAUUUCUCUCGAGAGCUCAUGAUUGGGGCAUGAAUAUAGCAUUGAUUUAAGCCUCCCCCAAGCUUGAGCUAUGCUUUCCCUGUCACGAGGCCAAAAGUUAUAAAUAAAGUUCCGAUCACGAUGUACUAAAUGCAUAGGAUAGAACUUUUGAUGAAAUUCCAAUUUCAACCGAUUGUAGCCCCAUGAUCUAGCAUCAUCACAUAGCCUAUACCAUGUCAACGCCUUAUCCUUCAAAGAUAAAGGAAAGACUUUCUUCUUUACCUCAUCCUCGGGCAAACCUGCAAGCUUAAAUAAACCACAAACUUCAUCUACAUAGAUUAGAUGAAAGUCUGGAUGUGAAGAUCCAUCUCGUGUAAAAGGAUUAGCGAGCAGUUUCUCAAGCAUUCCCAAAGGAAUUUCAUAAAAGAUAUUUUCAGUAGGUACCUCAGGUUGAGGAGCAACUCCUCGUGCUUCCGUUCGUGGUGAAGAUACCCCGAACAAACUCCUCAAAGGAAGAGUUUCCAUAGUGACAAGUGACAAUAAAUUUCAGCAUAGUAUAUACAUGUUUCCUUACCAAUUUCCACUUACCAAAGACGCUUCACUCCCCGGCAACGGCGCCAGAAAAGAGUCUUGAUGACCCACAAGUAUAGGGGAUCAAUCGUAGUCCUUUCGAUAAGUAAGAGUGGCGAACCCAACGAGGAGCAGAAGGCUCUGAUAAACGGAUUUCAGCAAGGUUAUAACUGCAAGCACUGAAAGUAGCGGUAACAAGUGAUUGUGUAGCGAGAUGAAACAUAGCGAGCAAAAAGUAACAAGUAACAAGCAGUAGAAAUGGUGCAGCAAGUGGUCCAAUCCCUUUUGCAGCAAGGGACAAGCCUGAACAAAGUCUUAUAGGAGGAAAAACGCUCCCGAGAACACACGGGAAUUUCUGUCAUGCUAGUUUCAUCAUGUUCAUAUGAUUCACGUUCGUUACUUUGAUAGUUUGAUAUGUGGGUGGACCGACGCUUGGGUACUGCCCUUACUUGGACAAGCAUCCCACUUAUGAUUAACCUCUCUCGCAAGCAUCCGCAACUACAAAAGAAUCAUGAUCACACAUAGAAUAGCAAUACAUCAUAAAGAUUCUUAUGGGAAAGUAACAAUUCCUUCACAAAGCAAAGCAUGAAGCAAAAACCUUACCGAGAAGUAACCAACAAUAGUCAUAGUCAUUGAAGCAAUUGCAAUUUAUCACAACAUCGGAAAGAGUCAAAUAAGAGCUUGUAAGGCAAACCCACAUACUCAAUCAUCUCUUUUGUUUUCCACAAUUGUUACAACUCCGACGAGAGAUUGGUUACAAGAGAUGAACUAGGGAUUGGAGAGGAGAUGGUGCUGAUGAAGAUGUUGAUGAAGAUGCCUCCCCUCCGACAAGAGGUGUGUUGGUGAUGACGAUGGCGAUGAUUUCCCCCUCCGGGAGGGAAGUUUCCCCGGCAGGAUCGUCCUGCCGGAGCUCUAGAUUGGAUCUGCUCAAGUUCCGCCUCAAGGCGGCGGCGAAACCACGAGAAAGCUCCAUCCUGAUUUUUUCCAGACUAGGACGCUUCAUAUAGCAAAAGAGGGGGGCUAGUGGGCCUUCAGGCAGCCCACAAGCUUGCCCACCGCCACCAGGGUGGUGGUGGCGGAGUGGGGGCUUGUGGGGCCCUGGUGGCCCCCCUCCGGUAGUUCUUUCGCCCAGUAUUUUUAAUAUUUUCCAGAAAAAAUCCAUGUAAAUUUUCAGGGCAUUUGGAGAUGUGCAGAAUAGUAGACUAGGAUUUGCUCCUCUUCUAGUCCAGAAUUCCAGCUGCCUGAAUUCCCCCUCUUCAAAUAAUCCUUGCAAAAUAAGAGAGAAAAGGCAUAAAUAUGGUACCACAAGUAAUAUAACAGCCCAAAAAGCAAUAAAUAUCAACAUGAAAGCAUGAUGCAAAAUGAACGUAUCAACUCCCCCAAGCUUAGACCUCGCGUGUCCUCAAGCGAAAACAAAGUUCCAUAAACAUGUCCACAUGUUGAGGGACGAAGGUGUCGAUAAAAGAUAAUACGAACCUGAGGGCAUCAUGAUCACACAUAGAAUAGCAAUACAUCAUAAAGAUUCUUAUGGGAAAGUAACAAUUCCUUCACAAAGCAAAGCAUGAAGCAAAAACCUUACCGAGAAGUAACCAACAAUAGUCAUAGUCAUUGAAGCAAUUGCAAUUUAUCACAACAUCGGAAAGAGUCAAAUAAGAGCUUGUAAGGCAAACCCACAUACUCAAUCAUCUCUUUUGUUUUCCACAAUUGUUACAACUCCGACGAGAGAUUGGUUACAAGAGAUGAACUAGGGAUUGGAGAGGAGAUGGUGUUGAUGAAGAUGUUGAUGAAGAUGCCUCCCCUCCGACGAGAGGUGUGUUGGUGAUGACGAUGGCGAUGAUUUCCCCCUCCGGGAGGGAAGUUUCCCCGGCAGGAACGUCCUGCCGGAGCUCUAGAUUGGAUCUGCUCAAGUUCCGCCCCGUGGCAGCGGCGAAACCACGAAAAAGCUCCCUCCUGAUUUUUUCCAGACCAGGACGCUUCAUAUAGCAAAAGAGGGGGCUAGUGGGCCUUCAGGCAGCACACAAGCUUGCCCACCACCACCAGGGGGGUGGCGGAGUGGGGGCUUGUGGGGCCUUGGUGGCCCCCCUCCGGUAGUUCUUUCGCCCAGUAUUUUUAAUAUAUUCCAGAAAAAAUCCACGUAAAUUUUAAGGGCAUUUGGAGAUGUGCAGAAUAGUAGACUAGGAUUUGCUCCUCUUCUAGUCCAGAAUUCCAGCUGCCUGAAUUCCCCCUCUUCAAAUAAUCCUUGCAAAAUAAGAGAGAAAAGGCAUAAAUAUGGUACCACAAGUAAUAUAACAGCCCAAAAAGCAAUAAAUAUCAACAUGAAAGCAUGAUGCAAAACGGACGUAUGAGAUGCCCAUAUUGGAUCCUACAUAUUCUCCGAAGAUCUUAUCGGUUGAACCUCAGUGUCAAGGAUUCAUAUAAUCCCUUUGUCAUUCCCUUUGUCAUUCGGUAUGUUACUUGCCUGAGAUUCGAUCGUCCGUAUCCGCAUACCUAUUUCAAUCUCGUUACGGGCAAGUCUCUUUACUCGUUCCGUAAUACAAGAUCCCGUGACUUACACUUAGUCACAUUGCUUGCAAGGCUUGUGUGUGAUGUUGUAUUACCGAGUGGGCCCCGAGAUACCUCUCCGUCACACGGAGUGACAAAUCCCAGUCUUGAUCCAUACUAACUCAACAGACACCUUUGGAGAUACCUGUAUAGCACCUUUAUAGUCACCUAGUUACGUUGGGACGUUUGAUGCACACAAGGUAUUCCUCUGGUGCCAGUGAGUUAUAUGAUCUCAUGGUCAUAGGAACAAAUACUUGACACACAGAAAACAAUAGCAAUAAAACGACACGAUCAAUAUGCUACGUUCAUAGUUUGGGUCUAGUCCAUCACAUGAUUCUCCUAAUGAUGUGAUCCAGUUAUCAAGUGACAACACUUGCAUAUAGUCAGAAAACCUUGACUAUCAUUGAUCAACUGGCUAGCCAACCAGAGGCUUGCUAGGGACAUUGUUUUGUCUAUGUAUCCACACAUGUAUCUAUGUUUUCAUUCAAUACAAUUAUAGCAUGGAUAAUAAACGAUUAUCUUUAAACAUGAAAUAUAAUAAUAACUAUUUAUCAUUGCCUUUAGGGCAUAUUUCCAACAGACUUCAACAUCUUCUUCUGUUUUUUCUAAUGCAUGGUAUGGAUUAUCAACCUUGUAAACCGGUGGUGAUGGAUUGCAAGAUUGUACUACAUGCAGUGAUGCUCCAAUUUUGCUGUUUGCGGUGAUUUCUAGAUCUGUCUCAAGUGGUUAGUCACCUUCUAUAAGUUUCGGACCGUCCUUCCAGGCAUCACCGUGACACUGCGGGACGUCCCAGAACACUUCCAUGAUCAUCUCAAAUACUCUCGAAACCCUUAUCUCUCGUUUUCUUUAUCUCAUAGUAGUUCUACAUACCGCUAGUUGUUAAGUGUGUGACCCUAUAGAUUCGAUAGUAUGUGGGUAUAUUCGGAACACCUUCGAGUCAAUAAUUAUUAGCGAGGCCUGGACACCAUGAUAAUUCCAGCACAACAAUGAAGAUCAUUAUUGAGUGAAUCUUUUGUUAUCACAUACAAUUCCUUUUGCCUCGAGGUAUGUUACAAAAUCUGAGCGGGACUUUUACUGUAUCUUCGUGAUUAACACCUUGACAACCACACCAAGUAAUCCUUGCUACCAGUUCAUACUCUUUUCUCAUUUUCGUUUUUCAGUAUCCCCAUGACUAAUGCUUGCUUGUCACAGGGCAAGAUGUUGGGUUGCCAAGUGGAGUAGUUUGUACUCACUCCGUCCCAUAAUAUAAGAGCAUUUUUGAUACUAGUGUAGUGUCAAAAACGUUUUUUCUUAUGAAACGGAGGGAGUAGUACACAAGUUUUUCUCCGUUUUAGAAACCAAGUCUUCAAUCUGCGAAAAUAUGUUUUUCUCCAAUAGUAUAACAUUCUACAAUAUAAAUAAAACGUUACUUGUGUCUCCAACAGAGCUAAGAAGGGUGUCAACAUUGCUAGUCUAUCUAGUUGCACAAAGUAACUAAAAGAUGAUGUGGUGAAUAAUAUUUUUAUAUUUUAAAAAUAGAAAUUGUAAGUAAAAUUUAGUGAAGGUGAUUCUUAUGCUAAAUACUGGACCGGAGUUAAGAGGUUUCCAAGUGCAUCACUCCAAUAGAUAAAGUGUGGUAAGUUACAUGAUCACUGAAGAAGUGCACAAUAAAACAUUCAUAUUAAAAUAUGUUGUCAUUGCUUGAUUGCACCAACGAAAGAUGAUUCUCACCAAACAUGUUAAUUAUUCCUCGUCACACGGGCGGACCUAUGUUGAUGGCUGUGGGGGCAGCUGCCCCCACUUGAUUUUCUGGUCGACUCAUAGUUGUUCAAUGGGCUACGUAAUAUGCCCCCAUUAAUCCAAAUGUCGUUCCCCCACUCACUCAAAUUUGUUUGCGAAUUUUUAAAAGACCAACUCUAGAGAAGCAGCUUUAUUAUAAAUCAAUAAUGCAUGCAUACGCGUUGUUGUCUCAUGGACUGUAGUCUACGGCCCUAUGCAUUACACACGUCGCCUAAUUCAAUCGCCAAAUUACCCUAAAAAACUCAACUAUAAAUCAAUAAUGCAUGCAUACGAUGUUGUUGUCUCAUGGACUGUAGCCUACGUUGUGACAGCCCGAGACCGACGCUUCACAAGAUUCCCCUCUUAUUCCAUUGGCGUCGUGCGAUUAGAUUGUGUGUCGCAUUCAUCAUGCAUCAUUCGCAUCAUCCGCAUUGCAUCGGCACUCCGUUGCCGCCAGUUUUUAAACUUGCAUCCGUUAUUAGUUGUCGGUUCUCUCCGUUUUCGUUGUUGUCCGUUUUGAGUCCAACCGCACACGCACGCGCCCGCGACAUUGUUAAAAUAUUGUUUAAAAGUGUGUUUAAAAUAUUUUCGGAUUGGGUUGAAACUUGGCGUGCGGUCUUGUUUUAUUGUAGGUAGACCGCCUUUCAAUUUUUGUUGCAAUCAGAAUUCGUUUGAUACCCGAACCGUCGACCGUAUCGACACCGUCACCGGGUUAUCAUCGGACGUUUUUUGGUGUUUAAAAAUCUCCUUGUCGAGCCGCAAACUUCCCUCUCUUCUUAGCCCACCACCACUCUGCACAGCCAAUAAUCUAGCCUAGACCCUAGCGAGCGUCACAGACAUCUGAUCACGAUCCUACGGUCCGAAUUUGGACGAAAUCUGCAAAACCCAGCCCGUUGUCUAUAAAUAGACAGCCAAACUAGCCUCUCCUCGAAAUCCACGCCUCACAAAACCCUACCGCUGCAGCCUCUCUCCUCCCCUCAGCCGCCAGGCCCGCUAAGGCCCAGAUCUGGCCCUCCCGCGCACAUCUGGCAUGCCGCCGCCCCGCUCGCCCGAGGCCGCGCAUCCAUGAGUCGCCGCACGCCCGACUCUCCUCCUCUCAUGGUUGUCUCGUGCCGGUGCCCCAAUCCCAGACGCGACGAGGUCGCCGGAGAUGCACCUUGUCGGGACCCCGCGAGCGCCAUGCCGGAGUCGCAACGCUAGCACCGCCUCCCCUCGCCGGUCCCAAGCGCCGCCGCCGCCGGUACCGCGCCGCCCUGCCGCCCUGUGCCUUGAUCUCCGCCGCCGCUGCCCCGAUCCAGCCGAAUCCGGUCUGAUCCAGUCCGAGACGAAUGCUACAGCGACAGAAACCUUCUGUCGUCUCUUGAGGUUGCGUUGGUUUAUCCCUUGAAGAGGAAAGGGCGAUGCAACACAGGAGCAGUAAGUAUUUCCCUCAGAUUGGAUCUCUUAAAGAGAUUAGCCAGUGGAUGAGGAUCCAUAUCACUAGAUUUUCAACAAGCGAAGAUGUAAGCAUUUUGAAGGCUCAUAACACACAAGCAAACAGAAAGCAAGCGAAAUAAAAGGGCAAACGAAAAAGGCAAACGAAAAAAGGCAAACAUUUUUGAAUUUUUUUUCAGAAGUGGGGGAGAGGAAAACGAGAGGCAAAAAAGUAAAUGCAAGAGAUGAGUUUGCGACGCUUACUUGGAUGAGUUCUUGACUUGAUCCUCCCCGGCAACGCGCCAGAAAUUCUUUUGCUACGGCGACAGAAACCUUCUGUCGUCUCUUGAGCUUGCGUUGGUUUUUCCCUUGAAGAGGAAAGGGCGAUGCGGCACAUGAGCAGUAAGUAUUUCCCUCAGUUUGAGAACCAAGGUAUCAAUCCAGUAGGAGAAUCGCGUCAAGUCCAGAGUACCUGCACAAACACAAA
This 78225-nucleotide long non-coding RNA is filed under the name Hordeum vulgare. RNAcentral describes it as "long non-coding RNA (HVUL_LNC012342)". Lineage: Eukaryota; Viridiplantae; Streptophyta; Magnoliopsida; Poales; Poaceae. The record is from RNAcentral.